Molecule: long non-coding RNA, 45025 nt
Filed under: Populus tremula
Lineage: Eukaryota; Viridiplantae; Streptophyta; Magnoliopsida; Malpighiales; Salicaceae
Description: long non-coding RNA (PTRE_LNC000702)
Source: RNAcentral
GCUGUGAGUUCUAUCAAGAUCUAUAUAUGGUUUGCUGUGUAUGCUCAAUCUCCCUAAAUUAUUAUUUUAUCUGCUAAAGUUUGCCAUGGAAAUCGACUCCAACAUGGCAUCAUAAUUGAUAGCAGCCAGCAAAACUUUGACCUCUAACACGUUUAUUUUCUAACAACAUCGAUAGUUCCGUCAUUAAGUUUCAAUCUUUUUUAUUUGGUUAAGGUGUCAUCGUGAUUGCCUUAUAAUUAUGUUCCCUGUGUUCUUUUUUCCCCUGGCAGGUGAAGAGUGAAUUUUGGGCUUUUGAGUGAGAAUUCUAUGUUUUUUUUUUUUGUUGAAUUUAGGAUUUUCAAGAGCCAAGAGUUUACUUGACUGAGAUCGCAGACUUGCUGAUUAUGGCAUGGACUAUUCUGGACAGAAAUAGCAGACCAUGCCUUCAGGCAAUUCUGAGCUCUUUUACUUUCCAAAAGAGAAGAUAGCAAACAAGAUCUGUGGCUGCUGUUGCACCGGGGCAUCCAUUCCUUUUCUUUCUGAGAUUCAUGUUGACAGAUUGUACAAUCAAACACAAAAUGCUUUAUUCAGUUUCUCGAUCACAGCCAAGAUUAAAUUCUGCUUUGUGUCCGUCCAUUGAUCUGUCCACUAUGUUCAUCCCUUUAUUUUUGUUUUUUGUUUCUUUGCAUUGUAUUGACAUUGAAACCAUUGCUCACAUCCUAUCUUCUUCUUUCCUUUUUUUUUCUUGGAUAAGGUUCGCAGAUACAUGAGGUGAUUAUGGUGCCGUGGUGAUCACAUAGUUGGCUUGCUCGAGAUCAACAGCAGAAUUUCCAUUCUGUUGGUUUUAAAUGAAUACUUUGACAGCUACUGUUAUGGAGAUGGAUCAAACCACUUAAUUUUUGUAAGUACAAUGUAAUUACUUUUGGUUUUAAAUGAUCAAGGAGGUUUACUUUGGAUCCAGUCAACCUUUUGGUUUUUCUGUGUAAUUGCUUUAAAGGAUCUGAAGCAACUCAUAAAACUGAUUUGUUGUUUCGCUUUUCGAUUUUGAUGCGAAGAGCUGUAUUUGGUAGUUUAAGACAUGAUUGAAAUGCAUGUCAGGUCAGGUCGAUCUCCUAAAGCAACAAUCACCAGUCAAUUCAUGGCUAUCCAAAAUGCAAGGAAACUCGAGUUUUUUCAAGUUAUCUCCAUAUUUUUUAACAAAUUACAGUGACAGUUUCACUUUAAACCCUAAUCACAAUUGAAAUUGCCAAGUGAUGGAUCAGACAUAUUUUGUAUUUUCUUGAACGCUCGCGAUCACAGUGGCUAAGACAACAGAAAAACUCAGCAAGAAGUCAAGGCCUAUACAUAACAAUGAGAACAGAUAGAGAUUUGAAUAUUUAAAUAAAGUAAUAAAAAUGUAUCAGUGCCAACUAAUAGUAAAAACAUAGCAGGCAUCCUCACCAAAUUUCAAUUAUGCUCGACAGCUCUUAUAUGAGAAAGUAAACGUGAGGAAUCAAUAUGGAAUUCCUUGAGUUGCAUACCAAAAUUGAAAUCGUAAAAGAACAUUUUUCUGCAUUUUGAUUCUUCUUCUUUCAAAUAUUAUUUUUUUCUUCUAUAAUUUCCUAAUUUAGCUAUGUAAAGGUCUUGUUUUUACGAGGAAAAUGUGUACUGGCAGCCAAGCCUAGCUUAAUAUCGUUUCCGUUUUGUUUUGUUUUGCAAAGAAAAUAAAACACUCACUUAUGAAGGUUUCAACGAAUUGGUGGCCUUGUUUCAUCAUCUCAUCACAAAUCCUAUUUAGCAUGAAGCAUAAGAUAUUAUUGAAAUGUUUUGCUUUUAAAAUCUUUAAAAACACCUGUCCUUAAAAAGAAUCUCUCUCUCUCUCUCUCUCUCUGAUAAAAUCAAUUUAGAUGUCUAAUAUUUCAUAAAAAAAAACAUGUGAUCCAAGCAGUUUUUUAAUUGAAUAUUUUGGCUUAAAAUCUAAUUCUUUUUGUUUUUUAGUCAUUGGAUUUAAGAGAGGAUAGAGUUGUUGAAAAUCAAAUAGGAGAUAGAAAUUUACUAAUGAUAUUUUUUUUUAUAAUGAAACUAGUUAUUUUUUUAUUUUAAUAAGUUUUAUUUGAUGAUGAAAGUUUUUUUAAAAUAUUGUUUUUUUUAUUUUUUUGAAAAAAUAGAUUGUGCUUGAAUUUUUUUUUUCUUUUAUCUUACACUAUAACAUUUGAAGCUCUACAUCGUUCUCUUUCACGUGGGAUAACAUGUGUGGUACUGUUACAAUGAUAGUUUAUUGUCCGCCACUCGAUCCUUUUCCUUUUCUCUUCUCUCUCCCCUUCCCUGUUAAAUUUUGUGUUGGCCAUUAAAAAAAUAUAAACCAUAUCAUCUUAUUUUAUGACAUUUCAAAGAAAAUAAUAAUUAUUUAGAAGAGGCUAUGUAUAUUAUUAAUUAAAAAAAAUUAAUUAAUCCUAAGGGGUCGAUGAACCAAUCAGACUUUGGAUUUGCUCCCUAAUGAUCACGAGUUCGAGUUCUCUCUGGACCACUGUAAAUUUACAUGGUCGUUAACUUUAAGGCCGGUAGAAUUAGUUGAAAUGCUUAAAAGCUAACUUGGAUAUCAAUGUUAAUAAAAAAAAAUUAAUUAAAAAGGUGGUUUAAUUGAUUAAUUAAACGUUUUGAAAUCAGCAUUAAUUCUAUCUGCAGAUUAAUUGAUAAGGUGGAGUGGAUUAUAGGUUAUGCGAACCCAAAACUUAUGUCCUUUAGGUGUUUGAUCAAAGUCUAAUAGAGGCUGAGGAUAAUGCGCUGGGAUUCUAAUGCCUUCAAUGUGACAUUGUGAGAGUUCAGUGUAAUAACGGUGGACGGGGGAUUGCAAUUAUAUGGUGAUGCUUGUAAGCUUGCAAGUAUCUUCAACUCUCUCUCUAGAAAAGGAAAAAAAAAAAGAUUUGUGCUCAGAAUAAUCAAAGCGAUUCUUGAAAUAAAAAAUAUAUUCGAUACAUUUUUAAACUCUUAAACGAAAAGUAAAAGCAUUUGCAACAUAAUACUAAAAACAUGCGAAAACUCUUAUUUUCAUUCUCCAUUCUCUUUCGAUUUUAAAUAACCAAUAUUUAUUACUGGAGGAGAUUUUAUUCUCUAUUAACAUAUAUAAAUAUAUAUAUUUUUAGUAUUAAAUUUAUUAGAAAUUGAAUUUUAUAUUUAUUUUUUAUGAGAUUUUGUUAAUAAAAAAAUUAAUUAAAAAGUUGUCAGUGUUAGAAUUUGACCAUAAAAUUAAUUAAAAGAGAAAGGAAAUUUGGUCGAUGCCUAGUUUAAUUAAACCUUUUGAAAUCAACAUUAAUUCUAUCUACAUGAAUUAAGUAAACUGUAUUAUUCUUCUAAAAGAUGCAAUAAACAGUGAAAGGACGAAUCUGAUGGCUUGUCUUUGUAAAGUAACGACAGACCAAGCGUACGAGGUAGUACGGUAUCUGUAUCAAAUCCAGGUAUCUGGAUCUAACAUUUAUGCCUGUAAUAAAUGAUGCAUUUUCUGUCCUUGUCUAGAUUUUGUCUGUUAGAAGCUGACUCAAAAAUCUGUUUUACAAUUUAUUUUUAUUCAAAAUAUUUAUAAAAACAUUUAGAAAUUAUGACAAACUUAUUUAUUUAUGACUUUAAAAAAUAAAAAAAAAAUAUUCUAAAAAUCAAAUUCAACCUGAAACUAAAAAUCAACCUGAGUUCAAAUCUGUUUAUUAACAAAUAUUUAAGGUAUAAAAACACCUAAUAUGAACCCUUCUUGUUAAAUUAAAUAAUUUAACACAAAAAAUUUUAUUUUUGAUGGUUUAAAUCGGUGUCAAUAACAAGUUUUUUUUUUUUGUCAAAAUUCAGCGACCUCUCUCUCUCAAUCAAGAACACAAAAAUAAUAAAAAUGAAUCCAUGUACCAAAAUGGAGUUUUUUAAAAACUUACGAUACACCAUCUAUAUUUGUCGUAUUAUUCAUUUAGAUCCCUUCUCUUCUAAUCUUAUUUUUUUCAUAAAAAUUUAAAUUUAAUUGCUUUUUAAAUAGUACUCAUGUCCAUAAACAAAGUCUAAGAAUAAAAAAAAAAAACAUUUUUUUUGUAGAAUGAUUGGUGUACAGUGAGUUCCCCUAUUUGUUUUUACGUUUCAAAAGUGUUUUUAAAAAAAAUUAAUUUUUUUUUUAUUUUUAUCUUUACUUCAAAUUAAUAUUUUUUUGGUAUUUUUAGAUUUUUUUGAUGUGCUGAUAUCAAAAAUAAUUUUUAAAAAAUAAAUAAAAAUAUUAUUUUAAUAUAUUUUCAAGUAAAAAAUACUUUAAAAAACAAUCAGAGUCAUGUUCUCAAACACAGCAUAAUAAACCACCGCAUUACUAUUUGCUUAUUCAUUUUGACAGUGGCUUUGAAUUUUUGGCAAAUGAGACUUGUUUUUUUGGCUGCGGGAUCACGAUAUGUGUAGGAUUAGUUAUGAUCCAAGAUGGUCACACCAACCUUGGUCACAAUCAAGUAUCAAUUUUUUUUUUAAAAUGACACGAAAUAUAUAAUAUAAAUUCAAAUUGUAAAAUCAUAAAAUUACAAGUAAAAUAUUUUAAAUAAUUAUAUAUUAACAAUUUCAAUCAAAUAGUAAUUAAUAAUAUAACAUAAUUAAAAUUAAAAUAAAAUAAACAAUAGAAAAAUUCCAACACCUUUAUUUUAUUCACAUUGAUUCCUUUACUUCUUGGAUAAAUCGAUUCAUUUAUUUUUUUAUUUACAAGAAACGAGUCUUUAAAUUUUGAUAGACCAUUUAAUAUUAAUUACUCCAAGGAUCAAUCAUGUUAAUUUACAACUUUUAUGAUAUAUAUUUGGUAGCUAAAACAGAGUAAUAUAUCAAUUGAUAUGUUAAUAGUUUAUACAAGAAAUUAUGAAGAAUGAAUAUGUAUUUUAAUUUUACGGAAAUAAAAUCCACAAAUAACUUGAAUCGUUAAAAAAAAGUUAUAAUAAUUAUAGUCAAAAUCAAGCAUUUGAUUAUGAAAUUGCACAAGUUUUACAAGAUAUAAAUUUAAAACAAUGAAAAUGUUAAGGUACAGAUUACUAUAAUAUAUAAUUUUAUAUUUUUUUCAAACUCGUAAAAUUGAUUUGAUUUUACCAAGUUUGAACGAGUUUAGCCAAUUUUACUAAUUUUUAAAUUUUAAUUUAAUUUGACAUAUUAGAUAUAUAUCACACAUAAAAUCAUAACAUUUUAAGAACAAUAUAUUUUUUUUAACAACAUUGUUCACAGCCCCGUUCAUGGUCAAUGAAAGAAUAAAUAAAAAAAGCAUUUUGAUUUUUUAGCGUUCCGACAAAAAAUCUAGCUGGGCACAACGUCCUUGACCAACGCGGGGGACAUGCCUUUGGCUGCAUCUGUUAUUUGGGUGUGGUUUCCUUUCAAGAGAGGAUGCAAAGAGUUAUGUUUGGGUGUGAUUUUUUUAUAUGCAACUCAACGAAAAAAAGCCAUUUUAAGAAAUAAACAAAAUUCUCGAAAGAAGCAGUGACGAAAGAAAGAAAAUGGUAACCAAGUGCAUCCUUGUAAGGGGGUUGGCGCAGCAGUAACAGGUUCUCUUUUUGAAGAAAAUUACUGCUGUGAGACUAUUGUUAAUUUUCCAUCUCAAGAAAUUAAGAAAUAUUAAUGUCCAAUUAUAAUGCAAGAAAACUUGUAUUCCUUCAAGACUAAUAAAAAGACAAUAAAAAUCCCAGUAUUAUUUUCGAAAAGAAGAAACAAAAUUGAAAUACUGAGACAUAUAAGAGAGUUUAAUUUAUGUUAGGUAACGUUUAAUUUCUCAAAAGCCAAAGCAAUUUCAUCGAGAAUAUUAUCUCACGAUCUGGAAAAAUAAAUAAGAAAAAAAAUAUCAUCUAAAAAUGCUUCAUGAGGGUCACAAUGUUUCAUUUUUUAUAAAAAGAAUAGAGAUAGAAGAUCAAAUAUAUAUAUAUUUUUUAUUUUUAUAUGUUUUUUGAAAUUAUUUUUAGUUCAAUACCUCUUUUUUUUUAUUUAUAAUUUUUUUAAAAUGAUAAUUAUCUUUAUAUAAAUAUAUAUUCUGAAAUCAAUUAUUUUUUAAGUGUUUUUUUUUAAUAUGAAUAUCUAAAUCAAUUUAUCUACUAAUUUUAUAAAUUAUAAAAUUAAUAAUUAUAUAAAUUUUUAAUAGUAUCGAGAAGACUUAAACUUAUAUCUAUAAAAAAACAAAUCUAGAAUCUUACUAUUUAGAUUUUAAGAUUUGUCUUUUUCAUCGUGUAGUAACCCCCGGUCCCUGUUAGCAGACUCCGAGACCGCGCUCGCAUAUUUUCUCCAAUGUGAUUCUACCUCUUUUACUAAAAAUAUGUCCACAAAAAAAGUGAACCAUCACCGAGGCAUCACCAACAAAAACACGCGCACAAAAACACCAAGACAUGCCGAGACAUGGCACAAAAGCACCAAGACAUGAUCAGUUCUAAUUAAGACAUGGCACAAAAACACAAGACAUGAGCAGUUCUAAUUAAGAAAUGCCACAAAAACACCAAGACAUCACCAGUUCUAAUUAAGAGCACACGAAAACACCAAGAUGACCAGUUAGUUCUAUUUAAGGGCACCGCACCCAAACCUUGUUAUACAUACUUACAUCUCCUUAUUCACAAAAUUAAGCAUCCUCUCUUGCUCUGCUAACUUGUCUCCACCUGCGUUUCCUCCUCAAAUUUGGUAAUAGAAUCAAUGCGCUCUCUUUCUAAUACUUGAGACAUUACUGCUUUUAUUUUCUUCUAACUAAUCAUUCCUUUUUGUAGUUAAUUUUAAGCCAUGAAUGGUUACAUCCUACACCCCCCUGCACAAGACUUGGCCACAGCAGGCUACUCCUCAGCUGCUAAAGGAGGGCUUGCUGGUGUCCUCGUCAUGCUCCUUCUUGCUAUCGUAUUUUAUGUAUUCUUCAAGUUCCGAAACUGCUCCAUGAAAUUUGAGAUGGAUGUUGAAAUGCCAUAAAGGAGCGGCCAUGCUGCUGCUGGGACAUAAGACAAUGAGAUUCUUCUAAUUUUCCAAUAUUAAUGUUUUCGUAUUAAAUACUCGGGCGUCUCAACCCUUUGUUUUUGGUUUCAUCAUCUGUAUUGCCGCAGAUAAAUAUUUGGUCUCUUUUCUCAUAACAAAACAAUUCCAGAUAAUUUGUACCUUUUAUGGUGUGAAUUUUGUGCUGGAGUUGGACUGAUAUCUUCCAUUAAAAUCGUCAAAGCAGAUAAGGAAUUGUGGGCUUUUUCUUUAAUUUUUUUUUUGUGGGUUUUAACCACGUCUAAGUUUCUUAUUUGCUGGGGCUUAACUUUAGGAACUUUCUUUUUAUAGUCUCUUUUUAACAAAAAGAAGGUCGUCCUUCGACUGCAUUCGCUUCUUCUUCUUUUUUUCGCUCAACUUCCGCCGCUGGUGGGGUUACUAGCGGCGUGGUCCUGGACGGUUGCGUUGGCUGUCGUGAUAGCUUGAGUCUGUCGGAGUUCUCGCUUUUCGUGUUCUUCUUUUUUUUUUUUUUUGGCUCCAGGCAGCUGGAUCCUUUCGUUGUUGACGGCUAUGCCGUGGUUUGGUGGUUAUGUUGGUAACUGGUUCAAUGGCUAUGUUGGUAUUGGGCUUGCCAUGGCGGAAUAGCGCUGGGCAGUUGGGUGUUUUUUUUAGAAGUAGAUGAGAAUUGCCAGGGGAGAUGGGUUGCGGUGGCGGUCCGUGGGUUUUGGCUUUGUGGAGUACAGAGGCAUUAAUCUUCUACUACAAAGAAAAGAAAUAGCAACCGCGACCUGGAGGAAGGGAGAGACAGAAGGAGAUUAAAAUUAUCGACCUUGACUGGUAAUUUUCUUUGAUUUUCUUAAAUGGAUCUUUGAAUUAAUUGUUUAUUAUUACCUAUAUUGGUUGGUUGAUAGUUCCUCCCCGGUGGAGGAGUGUUGCAGUGAUGGGCAUGCUAAUAUUAUGUUUUAUCAACCGAUUGGUUGAAUGAAAUGAAUUGGCACUCUAUGGAAAGGAGCAGGACAUGGGAAUCGAAGCAUUGGAAGCCAUGCUUAUGGAUAUGAUGGUUUUAGAGGUGCUCCUUCCCUUCUUUCUUUUUUAUUUUUUCAAAGUAAACAAACCAAUGAUAUGCAAUUGCAGAAAUUCAUUCUAGCGAGAGUGGCCUUCAUACUUCUAACCAUCGCUUCAAGAUACUGCUGUGUUUUUUCUCUUCCCCGGAGUUUGGUCACGCUCUUAUGCUAUGCUCCUUUAGUCAUGCUGUUUUGGAUUCUUAGCUCGAUCAGUUUUUUAUGACCAUGAAUAACAUUACCUAUCUUUUGCAGGGAAACAGAAGCUGCUGGAGGACUGCACUGCCACCCCAAAUCCAAAUUGUGGAUGCAGCCACUGUUAUGGAAAUGGAUCAAGGAGGUUUACUUUUGGAUCCAGGCAACCUUUUAGUUUUUCUGUGUAUAAGACAUGUAAUGCUUUAAAGGAUUUGAAGCAACUCAUAAAACUGAUUUGUUGUUUCGCUUUUUGAUUUUGAUGCGAGGAGCUGUAUUUGGUAGUUUAAGACAUGAUUAAAAAUAUAGUUUUUUGAAUAAAAUUACUGAAGAUAGACUGUUGUCAAUUUUCCAUCUCAAGAAAUUAAGAAAUAUUAUUGUCCAAGUAAAAUGCAAGAAAACUCGAGUUCCUUCAAGUCAUCUCUAUGUUCUUUAACAAAUUAUGGUGACAGUUUCACUUCAAACCCUAAUUGCAAUUGAAUCGCCAAAUGAUGGAUCAGAAAUACUUUGUUCUAAAAAUGUUUCCUCCUCUCGAAGGCCCACAAUCGCAAGGGCUAAGAUAACAAAGAAACUUAGCGAGAAGUCAAGGCCCAAAACAAUGAGACCAGAUAGAGAUUUCAGACGAAGCAUGCAAAACAUAGUGUAUUAUACAGUUUAUACCUGACCUAACUCUUUUGAGUUUGAUUACGCGUCAAGCUCAAGUAAUUAUAAGCAAAUGAGAUCUAAAAAUAAUAAAAAAAUGGUAUAAGUUAUAAUUCUUAAAACAAUCUAAUAAUUAAAAAUAAAAUUAAAAAAGAAACUAAAUAAAAAAGGAUUGGGUUGUCAAAAGGUGAAUUAAAAAGAAAAAAUAAAUAAACAAAUGAAAGAAAGAAAACACAAGACACUAUUUCAACAAAUAAUUUUUUAUGAAUGUAACUGCAGCUGUGGUUCUUUCAAAAAUCCAAACUUUCCAAAUGAUUCGGCGCCAUGACAAAUGCAAUUCUUGAGAUCUUGUGCCAUCUUUCCAGCAUCUUUGGUGAAGAAAUUUACUAAUUAAUGCACAUAAAAUGACAAUAAAAACUCCAAUAUUAUUUUCAAAGCUCUUAAAAGAAAAGCAAAAUUGAAAUACUAGGGCAUAUAAGAGAGUUUUAUGUUAAGUCUGGUUUAAUUUCUCAAAGGUCAAAGGAAGCCUUACUGGGAUGAGGGAUGAGGGAUGAGGGAGGAAAAAAAGAGAGAGAAGGGAAGAGAGAGAGAGAGAGAGAGACAACCAAUUCAAACCGAUAAUCCCAUUGAUUCAUUUUGUGUGAGCAACACUAAGUUCUUAUCAAACGUGGCGUUGUCAAACGAGAUUGAAGGCACGUUUAGAACAACUGCAAGUUAUCUAAAUAAAAAAGUGUUUGAAAUGUAAUGCAAACUAUAUUUUUAAAAAUUUUAAUUUUUUUAUUUAAAAUAUUUUAUAUAUAUUUUUAGAUAUUUUAAUAUAUUAAUAUUAAAAAUAUUUUUUUUUUUAAUACAUUUUUAAAUAAAAAAAUAUUUUAAACCACCAUUAAUACUAUAAUUUCAAAUAAAUUGAAAUGCUUUGUUAAUUCUACGAGUAGGAUGCACAUUGUAUCCGUAACUCCAUAAUGCAAUUUGAUGUGAUUUCGUGGUAUAUAAAUAUUCAAGGAUGUAUAAGAAAAUUGAAUAAUCUAUUUACACUCAGAAUCAUUUAAAAUAAAACUCUCCUGUAUUUUGAUUCUUCUUCUUUUAUAUAUUAUUUUUCUGAAAUACUUUGUUAAUUUAGAUAUCAAAGAAUUACCUAUCCUGUAUAGUUUUUAAGGAACAAGAACUUAUAACAUGAUUUUUCUAGUGGACUAGGCCAGCGUGCCUCCUCUCAAUCAUGGAAUUGUUUAGUUUAAUAGAGUUUUUAAUAGUAUUAAUUUGUUUUUUUAAUAAUAUUUAUCAGAUAACUCUAAAUCAAUUACAGAAAAUAGACCAUAUUUAUAUAAUUUAAUAAUGUAUAUUAAUUUUCUUAGGCGAUCUGUGUUGCAUAAGAAGUUUAUAUUAAGCUAAGAAGCUUGUUUUAAUUUUUAAUUUUAAUUUUAAGAUUGCCUGAAGGGGGAAUCUGUGCGGGUGGGUCCAAACCCGACAGUGGAUGGAUACCAAUUGGAUGUGUCGUAGAUGUAGCUAUUUUUUUGCCCGGAGCGCUGCAGCGCGGCCAUAAUUUAGUUAAACGAUAAUUUAGAAAUUAACCAAAGAGGAAAAUAAAUAUAGGGGGAAAAUAAAAUUAUGCUUUAAGAUGUGGAUUUAUUUUAUUUUAUUUUGGGAUGAUCAGGUGGAAGAUUAUUUAGGAGAGGGAGGAAAUUAUGUUUUAAGAUUAAUAUUAGUGAAAAGAAAUCUUGGAUUAAUUUUUAAAUAAAAUUACUGCUGUUAAACUAUAUUCAAUUUUUCAUCUCGGUAAAUUAAGAAAUAUUAUUGUCCAAGUAGAAUGCAAGUAGUUAUAUAUAUAUAUAUUAAAUUAUUAUAUUAAUCUCAAAAUGUAUCUAUGUUUUCUUGGGGCAUUUUCAUAUUUUCCUUUGGGUUUUUUUGCUGCUUAUUUUAUUUAAUACCCACUAAAAAAAUGCUUGGUCAUUCAUUCUAGUCCCUUCGAAAGUUAUUUGGACCUUUAUAUUUACUUGAUAUUUUUUAUAAAAAUAAGUUCUUAAUUAAAGAAAAUUUAUCCUCAUAUUUUUUCAUAACAACACUUUAAUCCCUAUAUUAAUUUUAUUUUAAUUGAGUCUAGGUGCCCACAUCAAAUGCUCCGUUCAUUAACAUUCUAGUAAUGGAUCAUAGGUUGAAAUAAAUCCAUGUGAGCGUAUGCAUCAAUUCUUAGUGCCUGUUUGGCAUUGCGGUCAAACCGGUUUUUUGAAAAAAUUCAAAUUUUUUUUUUUUUACUAAAAUUGAGUGCGGUUUGUACUUUUUGGAUCGUUUUGAUGUGCUGAUGUCAAAAAUGAUUUUUAAAAAAUGAAAAAACAUUAUUGACAUGCUUUUCGACACGAAAAGCUAUUUGAAAAGCAACCGCUACCACACUCCCAAACACCCUCUUAAUCCUAAGCCUCCGUGGACUAAAAUUAGUAGACAUGCACAUACUGCUCUUUGAAUAAAGAGCAAACCUCAAAAAUACUAAAUUAUUUAUAUUAAUUUUACCCUCAUGAUCUUAAGAAAAAUUAAUCAAAUACUUCUAUAUAUUUUAAAGCUUUCUGACGAUGUUUUUAUUUAAAUUAUACUGUUUUUAAAAUGGUUUUUUUUUUUGUAGAGGAAUUAGUGUUUUAUAUUAAAUAUCUCAAUAUAAAAUCUUAAUUGAGAAGUCAAUAUAAUGUAAUGGUAAGAUUGAUUAAGAAAAUAGUUUGGAUAUAAAAUUGAUAAUAAUUCAAUAAUUUGAUGAGAUAUUUGAUAUUUAGCUUCGAAUAAAUCUGUCUUUUUGUGUACUGUGUUUACAGGGAUCGGGAAGAAUAAGGAAGCAGGUUGGAAAUUUACAAUCGAUGCAACAGUAUACUUCAGUUGACUGGAUGUACAGGCUUGCAAAAGUCAAUAGUCUAAUCAAUUGAUUUAAACCUAUAGCCAUAUCUGACGCCAUAUUUCUUUUAAAAAAUAAUCACUUUUCUCUCUCUGAGCCCCAAGUUCUGGUUUUUCUUGUGUCUUAAUCAUUAUUUUUCUCUAAUUUAUAAGAUAAUUUUAGAUUCAAAGAAUAUGGAUAAAAAAAUAAUAAAUAUUUAGAUGUUGUUUAUUUUUUUAUUUUAAAAGUAUUUUUAAAAAAAUUAUUUAUUUAUUUAUUUUAAAAUAUUUUUAUAUAUUUUAAAAUUAUUUUAAUAUCUAACAUUAAAAAUAAUUUUUUAAAAUAAAAAAAUAUUUAAAAAAAACAAUUAUUACUAUAUUCACGCACCUCUGAAACCACUUACUAAUGUGUUUUGAACUUUUCCACCACCUAGAGGCUGCCUUUGCCAUCAUCUGCCUGCAUUUUACAAUUUACAUCCCAUUGAUAUUUAUCUUAUUGAUGAAAUACGGAGUUUCAUCAAGCAUUCGAAAUGGAAAUUUUAGUUUUUCUUAGUUUUUUUUAAAAAACAAUUUCUGACGGUGCAUUUUAUAUAUAUUUUUUAAAUUAUUUUUUAUUUAAAAAAAUGACACUGAAAUUUUUAAUAAUCUUAAUGUAUUGAUGAUAAAAAUAAAAAAUGUAUGAAAAUCAUCAUUUUAAUUAAAAAAUAUUUUAUAAAAACACAUUGCAUAAUUACCAAAAACAAAGCAUUUUGAACAAUGCGAAGGACAUGCGUUUUUGCUCCCGUGUGAUUUACUUUCAAAAGAGGAUGCAAAGAGCUAUUUUUAUAAAAAAAUAAAUAAAGUAAAGAAUUAAUUAAUUAAUUAAUAAAAAAAAUCUAAUAAAUAUCGCACUCAACAUCGCGAUGAAUUUAAAAAAUAUAAGUAAAUUUUUUUUUUAUAUGUGAAAUGACCUCCUUGGCUUAAAUAUCAAAAUAAAAAAGGAUAAAAAAUACAGGGUAAUCCUAUAAAAAAAAUCUUAGCUUAGCUUCAUACAAAUUGUUGGCCAGUGAAUCUUAACUUAGCUUCAUAUGAUGAGUUAAGUUUUUAAAAAAUUUAACAUUUCAAUAAAAAAAUUAUUCCUUUUUUUUAAUUUUAGUUUUAUCAUUGACUCUUUUAUAAAAAAUUUAUUUUUUUAAAUUUAGUCCUUCAAUUAAUUACAAUUUGAUUUUUAUUUUUUUUAUUUUUUAAUUUGUUUUUUUAAAUUUUUUAUAAAAAUUCUAUUAAUUUUUAAUUUUAUCACUCAAUUCAAGUUUAUCGUAUAUUAAAAAAAUAAUUUUACCAGUAAAUAACUAGUAGCAUUAAUAAUAAUAAUAAAAAAACCGUUUGAGCAUUCAAGCUCGCCUAAGAUUCAGUCCAGGUUUCCCAAUAAGAUUAUUUAUAAUACGGCCCGUGAGAUAGUUGUUCUGUAAAUACCUGAAAAAUAAAGGACUGUAAACCAGAUAGAGAUUAGGCCAAGAAAGCCCCAGGGGAGAUGGAAAGCAAGGGAGAUCACCAAAACCAAAAGUAGCACAAGCCCGACCCGACAGAACUGGGAGAGCAGACGUGGCAAAAGUAGGGAGAGCAGAACUGGAAGAGUCUUUUAGACACCGUUUGACAUUGCGUUUCAAAUAAUAUUUUAUUAAAUUUUAAUUUUUUUUUAUUUAAAAUUAAGUAUGGUUUGUAUUUUUUAGAUCGUUUUAAUUUGCUAAUGUCAAAAAUAAUUUUUAAAAAAUGAAAAAAAAUUAUUGACAUGUAUUUCGGUACAAAAAGCUAUUUGAAAAGCAACCGCUACCACACUGCCAAACACACUUUUAAACGUAGCAAAAGGCAUUCUCCAUUUAUACAUACUUACAUCAUUAAGCAUCCAUUCUUGCUCAUCUAACUCGUCUCCUCAAAUUUGGUAAUAUUAUCAAUGCGAUCUCUUUCCAAUCUCACUUGAGAAAUUACUGCUUUUAUUUUCUUCUAAUUAACCAUUCCUUUUUGUAGUUAAUUUUAAGCCAUGGAUGGUUACAUCCCACACCCCCCUGCACAAGACUUGAGUGAGGAGAGGCAUAAUCCAUAUAAAAUAAAAUAUUCAAUGAAAGGGACAAAACGGUGUGAAUUGUUAUUUAUCUUAUUGAUGAAAUACGGAGUUUCAUCAAACAUUCGAAAUGGAAAUUUUAGUUUUUCUUAGUUUUUUUUAAAAAACAUUUUUUUCGGUGCAUUUUAUAUAUAUAUAUAUAUAAUUUAAAUUAUUUUUUAUUUAAAAAAAUGACACUGAAAUUUUUAAUAAUCUUAAUGUAUUGAUGAUAAAAAUAAAAUAUAUAUAAAAAUCUUCAUUUUAAUUAAAAAAAUAUUUUAGAAAAACACAUUGCAUAAUUACCAAAUACAAAGCAUUUUGAACAAUGCGAAGGACAUGCGUUUUUGCUCCCAUUGUUAUUUGGGUGUGAUUUACUUUCAAAAGAGGAUGCAAAGAGCUAUUUUUAUAAAAAAUUAAAUAAAGUAAAGAAUUAAUUAAUUAAUUAAUAAAAAAAAAUCCAAUAAAUAUCGCACUCGACUUCGCGAUGAAUUUAAAAAAUAUAAGUAAAUUUUUUUUUAUAUGUGAAAAGACCUCUUUGGCUUAAAUAUAAAAAUAAAAAAGGAUAAAAAAUACAGGGUAAUCCUAUAAAAAAAAUCUUAGCUUAGCUUCAUACAAAUUGUUGGCCAGUGAAUCUUAACUUAGCUUCAUAUGAUGAGUUAAGUUUUUAAAAAAUUUAACAUUUCAAUAAAAAAAUUAUUCCUUUUUUUUUAAAAAUUUUAGUUUUGUCAUUGACUCUUUUAUAAAAAAAAUCAUUUUUUUAUUUAGUCCUUUAAUUAAUUACAAUUUGAUUUUUAUUUUUUUUAAUUUUUAAUUUGUUUUUUUGGAUCUUUUAUAAAAGUUCUAUUAAUUUUUAAUUUUAUCACUCAAUUCAAGUUUAUUAUAUAUUAAAAAAAUAAUUUUACCAGUAAAUAACUAGUAGCAUUAAUAAUAAUAAUAAUAAAAAAACCGUUUGAGCAUUCAAGCUCGCCUAAGAUUCAGUCCAGGUUUCCCAAUAAGAUUAUUUAUAAUACGGCCGGUGAGAUAAUUGUUCUGUAAAAACCUGAAAAAUAAAGGACUGUAAAGCAAAUAGAUGGUGGGGCAGGGGUUCAAAAGCCCUAGGGCAGAUGGGAGAAAAGGGCGAAAAGGGGAGGGCGAAAUCGACGAAAAGGGGGAGGGGCGAAAUCGACCAAAAGGGACACAAAGACAAUAAGGGGCAAACAGUGACAAAACCGUAUCUCCUCUAUUUAAGAGCUCAAAUUCCAUUUUAUACAUACUUACAUCUCCUUGUUACUCACAACAUUAAGCAUCCAUUCUUGCUCUGCUAACUCGUCUCCUCAAAUUUGGUAAUAUUAUCAAUGCGAUCUCUUUCUAAUCUCACUUGAGAAAUUACUGCUUUUAUUUUCUUCUAAUUAACCAUUCCUUUUUGUAGUUAAUUUUAAGCCAUGGAUGGUUACCCCCCUGCACAAGACUCGGCCACAUCAGGCUACUCCUCAGCUGCUAAGGGAGGGCUUGCUGGUGUCCUCGUCAUGCUCCUUGCUAUCGUAGUUUAUGUAUUCUUCAAGCGCCAAAACUGCCUCGAGGAGGGCGACCCCGUGAAGGUUCAGGUGAUCAAUAUUGUUGAAAUGGGAGAGAAGCGUGGGAAAUAAGGAGGUACCAUACCAUGUAAUAAGAAGUUGAAGCUAAUUAAGAUUCAUACAAAUGAGAUUUUCCUAAUCUUCCCAUAUUGUUUUUGUAUUAAUUGCAGGAAUCCAUGAAGCACACGGAUGCCUCGACUGCUCCUUAUUAGUUAUAUCUAUUGUAUUGUUGCAGAAUCGAACCGUUUUAAUUUGUACUUUAUAUUUAAAUAAAUGAUUGUGUGAAUUUCGUGUUGGACUUAAACUUAAUAUUGAAUUGUGUUGCUGCCACUUUAUUUUAAAAUCGUCAUAGCAGAUAAUGAAUUGUGGGCUUUUUCUUUAUUUUUUAUAUUAUUAUUUUUUUGAUUAACGUUGGUGUCCGGGCCAGCUUGCGCGUACCACGAUUAAUCUCACGGUUCACUGAACAUCCUGCAAGCCCAGUGAACAGGUAAGACACCGCGGAGGUGACAGGGCAUACCGCACAGGGAGAACCCAAUAAAAAUAAGAGGAGAAUAAACUCUCCAACCCCACCCCUACUGGAACUCGAACCGGAAUUUGAAGAAAGGAAAGCUGCCUCAUGUAACCACUGAGCCACACACCUGUUGUUAUUUUUUUAAUAUUACUUGGAGUGGGGUUUUACUAUUACCAAUUUACUGUGUUGCUGCGACUCUUUUUUUUUUUGACCACGUGUAAUUUCUUAUUUGCUGGGGCUUGCUUUAGGAGCUUACUUUUUAUAGUCUCUUGGUCGUCCAUAAAACAAACACUCACCGCAACAGUCACAGGCCAAACUCUUUGUUAAAUUGAUCGCAGAUCACACUCCAUGUCAAACCGAUGGUGUUUAGGUGCGUUGAGCGCCGGAUCGGUGCCAACUCCAUCUCCUCUUGAUGAGGGCGGUUUUUCUCGUCGCCAUCCAACGAGGGAUGUCCAGUCUUUUUGCCUUCCGUUGCUUUCCCUUUUGUCUUUGCGCGACUUUCGCCGUUGGUGGAGUUACUAGUGGCGUGGACCUGGACGGUUGCGUUGGCUUCUGUGAUCGCUUGAGUCUGUCGGAGUUGUCGCUUUUCGUGUUCUUUUAUUUUUUCCCGAUCCUGGCAGCUGGAUCGUUUCAUUGUUAACGGCUAUGCCGUGGUUUGGUGGUUAUGUUGGUAACUGGUUCAAUGGCUAUGUUGGUGUUGGGCGUGCCAUGGCAGAAUUGCGCUGGGCAGUUGGGUUUUUUUUUUUAGAGGGAGAUGAGAAUUGCCAGGGGAGAUGGGUUGCGGUGGUGGUCCGUGGGUUUUGGCUUUGUUGAGUACAGACUACAGAGGCAUUAUUCUUCUAUUACAAAGAAAAAAUAGCAACCUCGACCUGGAGGAAGGGAGAGACAGAAGGAGAUUAAAAUUAUCGACCUUGACUGGUAAUUUUCUUUGAUUUUCUUGAAUGGAUCUUUAAAUUAAUUGUUUAUUAUUACCUAUAUUGGUUGGUUGGGAGCUCCUCCCCAGUGGAGGAGUGUUGCAGUGACGGGGCAUGCUAAUAUCUAUAUUUUAAUAACUGAUUGGUUGAAUGAAAUGAAUUGGCAGGCUAUGGAAGCAUUGGAAGCCAUGCUUAUGGAUGAUGGUUUUAGAGGUGCUCCUCCCCUUCUUUCUUUUUGAUUUUUUCAAAGUAAACAAACCAAUGACAUGCAAUGGCAGAAAUUCAUUCUAGCGAGAAUGGCCUUGAUACUUCUUUCAAGAUAUCAAUAUCUCCACAGGUUAGGCUGUUCAUCAUGGUGUCGUGUUUUUUUCUCUUCCCCGGGGUUUGGUAAUGCUUUUAUGCCAUGCUGUGCUGUUUUGGAUUCUUAGCUCGAUCAGUUUUAUUUCCAGUGGGAAAAGGAGGUGAACAUGGAGCUGUGAGUUCUAUGUUAUAAAAAAAUAAUUUAAUUAAAAAUACUUAGUAUGAAUCCUUCUUAUCAAAUUUAAUAAUAUAACACAAUUUUUUUUUAUUUUGAUGGUUUAAAUUAAUAUCAAUAACAAGUUUAUUUUUACUGUCGAAAUCCAACGAUUUUUUUCUCUUAAUCAGGAAUAAAAAAAUAAUAAAAAUGAACACCUAUAUCAAAAUAAAAUUUCUCAAAACUUAUGAUAUGCUAUUAUAUAUCCUUGUUUUUCAUUUUGAUCUCUUUUUUAAUCCUAAUUUUUCCAUAAAAGGUUAAAAUUAAUUGCUUCUUAAAUAGUAAGAGAAUAAUAAAUAAAUAAAUAAAUGAAUAACAGUAGUAAAUGUACAGUGAAGUAUUUUUUUUUUUGGAUACUCCGGAUUAUCAAAAAAAAAAAAAACCCGUAUCUUUUACUAUAUGUCUUUUUGGCUACGGGAUCACGACGUCUGUGGUACCAGUUGUGAUCCGAGAUGGCCACACCAAACUUGGUCACAACCCCGCUCAUGUCCUAUGAAAGAAUAAAAAAAAAAGCAUAUAAGAGAGUUUUAUGUUAGCUACAGUUUAAUUUCUCAAAAGCCAAAACAAUUUCAUCGAGGAUAUCAUCUCACGGUCUGGAGAAAUAAAUAACAGAAAAAUAUCAUCUAAAAAUGUUUCCAUGAGAGCCAAAAUAUCUCAUUUUUUAUAAAAAGAAUAGAGAUAGAAGAUCAAAUAUUUUUUUUUUAUUUUUAUAUGUUUUUUGAAAUUAUUUUUAGAUUAAUACCCCUUAUCUUUUUUAUUUUAUUUAAAAUCUUAUUUAAAUGAUAAUUAUUUUUAUAUAAAUUUAUUUUUUAAAAUCAAUUAUUUUUAAAUUUUUUUCUUUUAUUAAUGUGAAUAUUCAGAGUGAGGCAUAUUUUCUCCAAUGUGAUUUCUAUUUCUACCUCUUUUACUAAUAUGUCCAUAAAAAAGUGCACCAACAUUGAGGCAUCACCAGUUCAAUCACAAAAACACCAAGGAAUCAAACGCGCACUAAAACACCAAGACAUGCCGAGACAUGCCACAAAAACACCAAGGUGACCAGUUAGUUCUAUUUAAGAGCACGCAAACUUUCCCCAAAAGAGGCCUUGCUUAAGGAGUUCAUUUUUCCAUUUUCCAUUUUCCAUUUUCCUUUAAAACCCUCCUAUUUGUUUCCUUAUAUUUAAGGACACCGCACCCAAACCUUGUUAUACAUUCUUACAUCUCCUUAUUUAAGCAUCCACUCUUGCUCUGCUAACUUGUCUCCUCCUGUGUUUCCUCCUCAAAUUUAGUAAUAUUAUCAAUGCAUGCGAUAUCUUUCUAAUCUCACUUGAGACAUUACUGUUUUUAUUUUCUUCUAAUUAAUCAUUUCUUUUUGAUGUAAGCCAUUGAUGAUAUCUAAUUUGUACCUUUUAUGGUGUGACUUUUGUGCUGGAGUUGGACUGAUAUCUUCAAUUAAAAUCGUCAAAGCAGAUAAGGAAUUGUGGGCUUUUUCUUUAAUUUUUUUUUUUUUUUUUGUAAUUUUCUUAUUUGCUGGGGCUUGCUUUGGGAGCUUUAUUUUUAUAGUCACUUUUUAACGAAAAGAAGGUCGUCCAUAAAACAAACACUCACCACAGCAGUCCCAGCCGAAGUCUUUGUUAAAUCGAUCGCAGAUCCCACUCCAUGUCAAACCGAUGGUGUUUCGGUGCGUUGAGUGUCUGAUCGGUGCCAACUCCAUCUCCUCUGCACGUUGACGAGGGCGGUUUUUCUCGCCGCCAUCCAACGAGGGAGCCUUCGGUUGCUUUCGCUUCUUCUUCUUUUUUUAGCUCAACUUCCGCCGCCGGUGGAGUUACUAGCGGCGUGGUCCUGGAAGGUUGCGUUGGCUGUCGUGAUAGCUUGAGUCUGUCGGAGUUUUCGCUUUUCGUGUUCUUUUUUUUUUGGCUCCUGGCAGCUGGAUCGUUUCGUUGUUGACGUCUAUGCGUGGUUUGGUGGUUUUAUUGGUAACUGGAUCAUGGGUUGUGUUUUUUUUUUUUUUUUCAAGAGAGAGAGAGGUGAGAAUUGCAAGGGGAUAUGGGUUGCGGUGGUGGUCCGUGGGUUUCAGUGCGUAAAGUGUGGGAUCGGUGCCAGCUCCAUCCCCUCUGCGUGUUUAUGAGGGCAGUUUUUCUCGUCGCCAUCCAACGAGGGAUGUCCAGGCUUUUUGCCUUCCGUUGCUUUCCCUUUUGUUUUCGCGCGACUUUCGCCGUUGGUGGAGUUACUGGCGGCGUGGAACUGGACUGUUGCGUUGGCUUCCGUGAUCGCUUGAGUCUGUCGGAGUUGUCGCUUUUCGUGUUCUUUUUUCCCCGCUCCUGGCAGCUGGAUCGUUUCGUUGUUAUCGGCUAUGCCGUGAUUUGGUGGUUAUGUUGGUAACCGGCUCAAUGGCUAUGUUGGUGUUGGGCGUGCCAUGGCGGAUUUGCGCUGGGCAGUUGGGUUUUUUUUUAAGAGGGAGAUGAGAAUUGCCAGGGGAGAUGGGUUGCGGUGGCGGUCCGUGGGUUUUGGCUUUGUUGAGUACAGAGGCAUUAAUCUUCUAGUACAAAGAAAAAAAAUAGCAUCCGCGACCUGGAGGAAGGGAGAGACAGAAGGAGAUUAAAAUUAUCGACCUUGACUGGUAAUUUUCUUAAAUGGAUCUUUGAAUUAAUUGUUUAUUAUUACCUAUAUUGGUUGGUUGAUAGUUCCUCCCCGGUGGAGGAGCGUUGCAGUGAUGGGGCAUGCUAAUAUUAUGUUUUAUUAACCGAUUGGUUUGAAUGAAAUGAAUUGGCAGUCUAUGGAAAGGAGCAGGACAUGGGAAUCGAAGCAUUGGAAGCCAUGCUUAUGGAUAUGAUGGAUUUAGAGGUGCUCCUUCCCUUCUUUCUUUUUGAUUUUUUCAAAGUAAACAAACCAAUGAUAUGCAAUUGCAGAUAUUCAUUCUAGCGAGAGUGGCCUUCAUACUUCUAACCAUCGCUUCAAAAUAUCAGUAUCUCCACAGGUUAGGAUGGCUGGCUGUUCUAUCAUCAUGGUGCUGUGUUUUUUUUCUCUUCCCCGGAGUUUGGUCAUGCUCUUAUGCCAUGCUCCUUUAGCCGUGCUGUUUUGGAUUCUUAGCUCGAUCAGUUUUAUUUCCAGUGGGAAAAGGAGGUGACCAGGGAGCUGUGAGUUCUAUCAAGAUCUAUAUAUGGUUUAAAACCAAAGUCGAUAAUUUUAAUCUCCUCCUGUCUCUCCCUUCCUCCAGGUCGCGGUUGCUAUUUUUUUCCUUUGUACUAGAAGAUUAAUGCCUCUGUACUCAACAAAGCCAAAACCAAGGACCGCCACCGCAACCCAUCUCCCCUGGCAAAUCUCAUCUCCCUCUAAAAAAAAAUAAAACCAACAGCCCAGCGCAAUUCCGCCAUGGCACGCCCAGCACCAACAUAGCCAUUGAACCAGUUACUAACAUAACCACCAAACAAUGAAACGAUCCAGCUGCCAGGAGCGGGGAAAAAAAAGAACACGAAAAGCGACAACUCCGACAGACUCGAGCGAUCACGAAUGCCAACGCAACAGUCCAGGUCCAUGCCACGCCGCUAGUAACUCCACCAGCGGCGGAAGUCGGGCGAGAACAAAAGGGAAAGCAACGGAAGGCAAAAAGACUAGACAUCCCUCGUUGGAUGGCGACGACAAAAACCGCCCUCAUCAACACGCAGAGGAGAUGGAGGUGGCACCGAUCCCACACUUAACGCACUGAAACCCACGGACCACCACCUCAACCCAUCUCCCCUUGCAAUACUCACCUCUCUCUCGAGAAAAAUAAAACACACAGCCAUGGAACCAGUUACUAAUAAAACCACCAAACCACGGCAUAGCCGUCAACAAGGAAACGAUCCAGCUGCCAGAAGCCAAAAAAAACAGAAAAGCGAAAAAUCCUACAGACUCAAGUGAUCACGACAAUCAACGCAACCGUCCAGGACCACGCCACUAGUAACUCCACCAGCGAAGGAAGGCGCGCGAAAACAAAAGCGAAAGCAACAGAAGGCAGAAAGACUGGAUAGCGGGGAGAAAAACCGCCCUCAUCAACGCGCAGAGGAGGUGGAGUUGGCACCGGUCCGACACUCAACGCACCGAAACGCCCUGGGUUUGACAUAUCUGUGAUCGAUUUAACAAAGAGUUUGGCUGUGACUGCUGUGGCGAGUGAUUGUUUUAUGGACGGCUUUCUUCUCGUUAAAAAGAGACGGUAUUAAAAGGGUAGAUCCAAAAGCGGGCCCCAGUGGAUCAGAAAAUUACCAGGAAGUCCACACUGAUUUAUUACAGUGGCAGCGCAGUAAAUUGAUGAUAAUUAAAAAAAAAAACCCACUCCAAGUAAAGAAAAAAAAAUUGAGGGAAAAAACUCAAAACUCAUUACGUGCUAUGACGAUUUUAAUUGAAGAUAUUAAGUUUAACUCCAACAGAAAAUUCACACCAUCAUUUACAUAUAUAUAAAGUAAAAAUUAAAAUGGUCUGAUCUCAAAUAAUGAGAGAACAUACCAAUAUUUAUCUGCAACAAUACAGUAGAUAUAACUAUAAAAACCAACUGUCCAUGUUCCGAGUACUUCAUGGAUUGCUACCUUAAACAAAGAAGAAGUUACGAAAACAGUAUUGGAAUAUUAGAAGAAUCUCACUUUAUGAAUCUUAAUAGCUUCAACUUCUUAUUGCAUGCUACCUCCUUGCAUGCUCUUUCAGCAUUUCAACUAAGUAUCUCCAGGACGGACACCAGUCCUUCCUGGCAUUUCAACAUCCACCUCCAAUUUUACGGAGCAGUUUCGGCACUUGAAGAAUACAUAAACUACGACAGCAAGAAGAAGCAUGAUGAGGACACCAGCAACUCCUCCUUUAGCUGCCGAGGAGUACCCUCCGGUGACCGAGUCUUGUGCAGGGGGGUGUAGGGUGUAACCAUCCAUGUCUCAAAACUACAAAAAGGAAUGAUUAAUUAGAAGAAAAUAAAAGCAUUAAUGUCUCAAGUGAGAUCAGAAAGAGAGAUCGCAUUGAUAACAAUACCAAAUUUGAGGAAGUAACACAGGAGGAGAUACGCUAGAAGACCAAGGACCAGAUGCUUAAAUUUUGUGAACAAGGAGAUGGAUGAAUUGCAAGGAGGAAGCCCGUUUCCUCUUAUAGGAAGGGCUUUGAUGAUGCAGAUCUCUAUUUUCUAUUUUCUACAUUCCUUCGGUGGGGGCCACACCACUAUUGUUUGUUUGUUACUUUCACAAAAGCGCUAUUUGUUCGAGAAUCUAAUCUCACGAUUCGAGAAAAUAAAUAAUAAAAUGCGUAAUUACAACACUCCUCCACUGGGGAGGAACUACUAUCAACCAACCAAUAUAGGUAAUGAUAAACAAUUUAUUCAGAGAUCCAUUUAAGAAAAUAAAAGAAAAUUACCAGUCAAGGUCGAUAGUUUUAAUCUCCUUCUGUUUCUCCCUUCCUCCAUUGCUAUUUUUUCUAAUCUAAUUAAAUCAUUCCUCUUUUUUUUUUUAUUAUUCUAAUAUCAUGUCUCGAGUUAUUGAUUUAACAGGUUUAUUAAAUUUAAUUCAACUAUUUUUUUUUAUUAUUUUUUAAUAGUUUUUGAUCUUGAAUCGAUGAUCAUAAUCUUGGAUUUUGUAUUUCUUUUUAAAUAUAAAUCAUUUCGAUAUUUUCUUUAUAAUAAAAAAGGUUUUGACAACCCUACUUGGUUUUGCUAAUACUUUAUUUUUUAAUUUUUUUAUUAAUUUUUUUAUUUCAUUCUUCUAUAUUUUUGUUGUAGAAGAUGAUAAUUAUUAUUAUUUUUAUUUUUUUUCUAUGGUGUUGAAUCAUGAUUUUUUUUUUAUUAUUAUUCUUUAAAAUCCAAUAAUUAAUAGCCCCUGGGUAUUCUUUUUUUACACUGCAGAAAAAGAUCAGCUUGGCCUACAGUGAAACUCGGGCUAUCUAUAUUUAGCAUGCAAAUAUAAACAUACACUUUAUCUAGCAAUCAAUCCAAAAGCAAAAAAAAAGAAUAAAAUAAAGGGUUUCGUGGUAGUUUUAUGGAGGGGCGAAACUUGGAAACCUUUUCAGAGGCGCCACGAUUAGAAAUAUUUUGGAGGAAUUAUUAUAAAGGAUGGAUCUAGCCAUUUGGGUGCGGUAACUGAGAUUGGAGGAGUUGGUUAGGGUGAUCUUUGCCUCCAUCCCAAACUUUUCCCAGUGGAAACAGCCUUUUCUACCUCAUCAAAUAAAGGAAGAGUGCAAGGAAGGGAGCGGAGGAUCACUUACGAUUUUUUUAGCCUGUUUAGAAGAAUAAAAAAACGCAAAACCAAAGCCCUUCCUAGUUAAAGACUAAAAGUCAAGGUAGGUAGCAUGUGAUUAACAAAAAGUUGAAGCUGAUUAAGAUUCCUACAAAUGAGAUUCUUGGGAAUCGAAGCAUUGGAAGCCAAUUUGAUUCUUGCAAUAAGAUUCCUACAUUUUCCUGCAAUUUGAUUCUUCUUCUUUCAUAUAUUAUUUUUUUCUUCUAUAACUUACUAAUUUAGCUAUAUAAAGGUCUUGUUUUGCAAGGAAAAUGUGAACUGCCAGCCAAGCCUAACUUAAGAAAAAAAAUAUAUAAUCAAAGUACGUUAACAGUCUGUUUUUUUUUUUUUGCAAAGAAAAUAAAACACUCACUCAUGAAGGUUUCAACGAAUUGGUGGCCUUGUUUCAUCGUCUCAUCACCCACUCUAGUUAGUGUGAAGCAUAACAUAUUAUUGAAUUUUUUUACUUUUUAAUCUUUGUUAACUUAAAAGGUGUUUGAAAGUGUUGUACUAGUUACUUUUUAAAAUGUUUUUUUACUUGAAAAUAUAUUUAAAUAAUUUUUUUAUUUUUUAAAAAAUUAUUUUUGACAACAAAAUAUCAAAAUAUCUAAAAAGAAUAAAAAUUAUUAAUUUAAAAUAAAAAAUUAAAUUAAAUUAAUUUUUUUUAAAACUAUUUUUAAAACACAAAAAAUAAACAAUAUCAAAUACAGCUUCCAUAAAACUGCAAAGUUGAUGUUGGUUCGAUUACAAAAUUAAUAACAGUUGUAGAUAAAUCUUUAAAAAUACACACUUGAAUAGAGAGAAAAAAAAAUACAUCCAUUCAAUUAGAAACUAAGUGAUUUAGAGCUUAUCUCAGGCAGCUAGCAACCUUCCCAACACCCCCCCCCCUCAUAAUACCCCCCCCCCCUCAUAAUACACAUUUAAGUUCCUGUAAUUUAUAAGGUAUUCAAUUCUAUAUAUCCCUAAAAUUCCAAAAUUUAUUUGGAAUUGGAUCCUUAAUUUAUAUUUUUCUCUCCUUUUCUAAGCUAAAAACCCCUCCUUUAUGCAUGUCUUGAUAACAUACAAAUCUUACUAUUUGAAUUUUAAUUGCAAUUGAAAUUUGCAAUGUUUUUUACGGGCCAAUUAUUACUGGUGCACAAAUAAAUGUGUCUUUUUUUAUUUGAAUUUUUUUUAUUUAAUCCAUUUCUAUUUGAUUUUGUUUUGUUUUUAUUUAAAUAUAGUAAUCAUUCUCUUGAUUGUUACUUUUUUUUGUAUUAUUGUUUUCUUGAUUUUUUUUAUUUCAAUUUUGUCUCUCAAUAUUUUAUUUCAUUUUUUUUUCUAGAUAUUGUUCUUAUUUUUUUUAAUAACUUUUUUUAAUUCUUUUCUUAAUUUGUUUUAUCUUUCAAUAUUGUCCCUUAGCAUUUUAUUUCACUUAUUUUUUAUUUAAUUUUGAUUCUUAUUACUCUAAUUAUUUUUGUAAUCUUUUUUUUUAUUCUAUUUUUUCUCUACCACUAAUCUUAUUACUCGUGAAUAGUGUAGUGAAUUGCACUGUUUGUUAUUUUUUAUAGUCUACAGUGCAUGAAAAGCAGGUUUUCAUAGCUUUUCAUUUACAGCAUUUUAAACGCAAAAAUUCUUGUGACCCUCAUGCACAGUAAAUCAAUUUUUUUUAUUAUCAAAAGGCUGCUGACUGCGUUUUAAAUAAAACACAACCGCGGCCGCGUAGACAAACGAAGUCUAAAUGUUGGGUUUAGGGUGGUCCAGACACAGGCUGUUUUGUUGGGUUCAGUUCUAAGUUUAAGAUUGUAAUAAUUGUUAUUUUUUAAAAUGAUUUUUUUUUAUUAAUUUAUUUUUAAUAUAACACGUAGAAUGAUUGAAUAUUAUAUAAAAAAAAUUAAUUUAAAAUAAAAAAUAUUUUAAAAAGUUUCAAAAAUUCUUUUUAAUUAAAAACAAAGAAAUGUUUUGUUUUGUUUUUUUCCCCUUCCUUCCUUAUUCCUCUUUGUUUCUACAAAUUAUGCUUAUCAACCCCGUAUUUUUUAAGAUAUAAUUUUUUUAUUUGAAUAUUAGGGAGUUAUUCACGUACCGCCUAAACACCAUAAGUGUCUCCCAUUCAUUUUUUUUCAAUCCCUAAAUUAUUUUGUUUGACAAAUAUGAUCCCUCAAGCAAUAUAAUUGUGUUUUAAUUUUCAAAAUUAGGCAUCAACCAAACACGUGUCAGAAUUUUUUCUCAAUAAAAUUGGAUUCUCAUAUUUAAGAAAAAAAAACUAUCAAGUUUAAUUUUUUUUUAAAAGACUUAAUAUAAAAAGAUAAAAUUAAAAAAGAAGAAUAAGAAGAAGAAAAAGUUGAAUCUCUCCCCUAUACCAUGUAAUUCAGUCACUGAUGUUUCCAUGAAAACAGGGCUCAAUACGUGUAAUUCCAGUACUGUUUUGACGACAAAGGAAUAUCAUUGGUGGGUUGUGGGGCAGUCAUUUGUUUGUCUCUGUAAAAGUGCAAAACAGGCAUAAAACAAUUAACGAUACUUCUUUUAAAUGGGAGUAAAUGCUCAUGAAGAUAUGAUUGAGCUUUGUUAAGAUAUAUAGAUGUUAUUUUGUGUUGUGGUACAUAGCUUUUUUUUUUUUUUUUUUUUUAUCUUAGAGAAAUAAUUGUUUGAUUAUAAAAAUAAAUUAUACCUUUUACACUAAGUUUCGUUUUAAAUCUUAAUUUUGUAUUGCUAAAAUACUAUACUUUUCAUCAUUUAUUUUACUUAGGUCAAUUCUUACCAGAGAAAUUGAAAUUGAUAUUGACUGUUCAAACCCCAAAACUAGCCAAAGCAAAAUAAGAAGAAACCGUAAAAGAAAAUAUAUAUGGAUUUAUGUUAUGCGGUAGCAUGGCUGAUGUUUAUCAUAUUUAGUUUCACUCUUUGUUUUCUUUUAAUUACCUUGCCUUUUGACCAUAGUCAUAUACAUAAUUUAUGAGAUUACAAAGAUUAUAAUUUAAUAAGUUACAUACACAAUGUUUCCAAAUACUACAUAAUAAUAAUAAUAAUAAUAAUAAUAAUAAUAAUAAUAAUAAUAAUAAUAAUAAUAAUAAGACAUCAUAGUAUGAUACAAAUCAAGAUUAAAUUACUAGAACAAUUUUCUUGUUGUUUUUAUUUUCAUUAACCAUUUGACCUCUAAUUUAAUCACUGGUAAUUCAAUUUAAAAUUCCCACUGAUUUUAAGAUGGUUUAUUAUUAUUAUCAUAAACCCUAAUGUUUUUAAUAACUAAUUAUAAAAGAAUAAAAUUAAAAUUAAAUAAUGAAAUAAAUAAAUAAAAUAAAUUUUUUUUACCUAAAAUAUAAAGAAAAAAAUAGAGUAAUUGCUUAUUUGAUGAGAAAUUUAUUUAUGGGAGAGGCAGGAACAAGAACUCAUAAAAAAAAAAAAAAAGUGGCAUAGUAGCUCAUGAAAAUAAUAAAAUAGCAAAGGUAGGAACGCGAAAUACUCUUUGUUAGUCAGGGGACUCUAUAUUUUUAAGCCGGUCCCCUUGAUUUGUUAUAAAAACAAAAGGGAAAUUAAGAAAAAUUUAGGGAAUGAGCUGUGUAUGUAUAUAUAUUAUAUUAUAAUAAUAACUUUUCUUUUUCCGUGCAGUAACAAUUCACAAACCUAAUAUAUUAAUAUUUUAAUAAAAAAAUUAAAAAAAUAAAAAUUAAUUGGACAAUUGCCCCUUUUUAUUUCUAUGUGGCUCCGCCACUGCAUAAGCAUCACUAUCAUAGUUCCUUUGGCUACAUCUAUUAUUUGGGCGGGGUUUAAUUUCAAAAGAGGAUGCAAUAUGUUUGGUUGUUUAAGAGCAUCUCUCUAUGUUUUUCUUUUUUUUUAAUAAUGUAUAUAUGAUUUUUUUUAUAUGCAACUCAAUGAAAAAACCAUUUUAAGAAAUAAACUAAAUUCUCGAAAGAACCAGUGAUGAAAGAAAGAAAAUGGUUGAAAAAAAUGUGGCAGAGCCAAGACCUAAUUCUAACAUAAUAGAAUAAAAAUUUAGCUUUUUUAAAACGGAAGUAUGACAUGACAAAACGAAACUGGCGUCCUUAAAUUACAUUCGUUAUCUAUUAGUUUUUGUUUUUGAAAAAUAAUUUUUAAAAAAUAAUUUUAUAAAUUUUUUUGUGUUUGUUUGCUAUUAAAAAAAUUAAUUAAUAGAAAACAUUUUCCUGUCAAGAAAAAAUUUAGCUUGAUUUCUAUGAAUUUUUUUUUUAUUUGGGUGGAAAAUACUUUCUAGAAGUUGUAAAAAAUUUAAAAAUAUCAUAUUAUUUACUGAUUAUGUUAAAUUUGGUCAUCGAACGUUUGAUUGUUAUAUAUUUUGUUUGAAUCCUUUUUUUUUGUCAAAUUCAUCCCUUAAAAUUUGAUUUUUAUAUUAAUUUUGAUCGUUAUUUUAUGAUUAUUAUUUAUUUUUCUCUUAUCUUUUUUUUUAUUGAAAUUUUUUAUCUAUCAAAUUUGAUCCUUAUUAUUUUGAUUGUUAUUUUAUUUAAAAUAAUUUAUGAAAUUAUAAUUAUAAUUAUUUUAAUUUCAUUAUAUUUUAAUUUUUUUAUCUGUUAGAUUUGAUCUUUAUUAUUUUGAUUAUUAUUUAUUUUAUUUGAAAUAAUUUAUGAAAUUAGAUUUUUUUCAAUUCAAUUCUUAUUCAACUUUUUAAUUUGUAAGAUUUGUUCCUUAUUAUUUUAAUAAACUUAAAAUAAAAAUAAAACAUUAAUAAGCUAUUUCCCAGUUUAUUUUCCAUAACAUAACCAAACACUGAAAAAUACUUUUUAAUUUACUUUUCAUUACACUAUCAAAUAUUAAAAAAUAACUUACUUUCUUGAAUUUUACUUUUCAAUAAAAUUAUUUUUUUAAAAAAAAUAUUUUUUUCUGAAAACAACCCGAUCCUAAGUUAAAACAUGGAAUGCUGGUCAUAAAUUGUUAAGUAAUCAAGACAGGCCACUAAGUGAAUCCUUGUCAGGGGUUGGCACCGCAGUACUAGGUGAUGGUCUUGUUUCUUCUGCUAUCCUUUUCCUCCUCUUCUCUUCUUCUACGGUUUGUGAUCCUACGGUUUGUGAUUCAAAUAGAGGGAGAAAUUGAAAAUUAAAAAAGGCCCCCGUCCCUCACCUCUCGCCCCGCACCAGUACCAGGGCUACAGACAACCAGUUCUAUUUAAGAGCACACAAACUUUCUCCUUGUUAUACAUACUUACAUCUCCUUAUUCACAAAAUUAAGCAUCCUCUCUUGCUCUGCUAGUGUUUCCUUCUCCAAUCUGGUAAUAUUAUCAAUGCGAUCUCUUUCUAAUCUCACUUGAGACAUUACUGCUUUUAUUUUCUUCUAAUUAAUCAUUCCGUUUUGUAGUUUUAAGCCAUGGAUAGUUACACCCUGCACCCCCCUGCACAAGACUCGGCCACAGAAGGCUACUCCCCAGCUGCUAAAGGAGGACUUGCUGGUGUCUUCGUCAUGCUCCUUACUAUCGUCGUUUAUGUAUUCUUCAAGCGCCGAAACUGCACCGUGAGAUUUGAGGUGGAUGUUGAAAUGCCAGAAAGGAGCGUCCAUGGUGCUGCUGGAGGUGGACGUUGAAAUGCAGAAAGGAGCGUCCAUGCUGGGAAAUAAGGAGGUAGCAUGCAAUACAAUCCAUGAAGUUUGUUUUUGGUUUUAUUAAUUGUAUUGCUACAGAUAAAUAUUUGGUCUGUUUUCUCAUAAUAAAAAAAUUCAAGAUCAGACCAUUUUAAUUUGUACUUUUUAUGGUGUGGAUUUUGUGUUGGAGUUAGACUAAUAUCUUCAACUAAUAUCGUCAACGCAGAUAAGGAAUUGUGGGCUUUUUCUUUAAUUCUUUUUUUUUUUUUACUUUACUAAUUGGCGUGGGUUUUUCUAUUAUCAAUUUAUUGCGCGGCCACUUUUUUUUUUUUGUUAUUUAUAUUAAUUUUACCCUCAGGAUCUUAAGAAAAACUAAUCAAAUACUUCCAUAUAUUUUAAAGCUUUCUGACUAUGUUUUUAUCUAAAUUAUACUGUUUUUAAAAUGGUCUUUUUUUUGUAGAGGAAUUAAUGUUUUAUAUUAAUUAUCUCAAUAUAAAAUCUUGAUUGAGAAGUCAAUAUAAUGUAAUGGUAAGAUUGAUUAAGAAAAUAAUUUGGAUAUAAAAUUGAUAAUAAUUCAAUAAUUUGAUGAGAUAUUUGAUAUUUAGCUUCGAAUAAAUCUGUCUUUUUGUGCACUGGCCUUCGAAGAAAUUGCUCUGUGUUUACUUGGAUCGGGAAGUUGGCUGGAAAUUUACAAUCGAUGCAACAGUACACUAAUUAUAAAUGAUCCAUGACUUGUCCUUCCUUCUUGUUUCACUAUACCUUUCCUUUAUUUUUUUGGCAAUCCACAUGCCCUGCACGGCUACCUUUUAUUGACACAAUAUAUAUAUAUAUUCUGUAUCUGAUUUAAAUAAAGUAAUUAAUUAAUUAAUUAAUUAAAAAUCCAAUAGACAUUAUUCUAAAAAAAAUACAUUCCAUUUCUUCUUUAAUUGUUUAACUAGGAUCGAUAGGAUUAUAUGAUAUGACCCAUGUAUUGGGAAAUCCGACUAUUGAUGUACUGAUAAUUGUCUAUUGGAGGCUAAGCAUACUAAUAUAAUAUUUAACGUGGUUCGACAAACCGCUUACAUCCAUGAAAGAUGUUCAUAUUAUUAGAGAUAGAGAAAUGAUACAGUACAAAUACAUGGAGGAGGAGGAUUACAUCCAAUCAAACUCAACUCCCAGCUCACAUUGCUGCCCUUGCAGCUCUUCACUUUCUCUCUUGGUCUCUCAUAAACUCACCACUCUUUCAAGAGUCUACUCCUCCAGGAGUUGCACCUGCCCUCUAUUCCACUCUAAGAACCACGCCUUACUUCUCCAUGAGUCUUUCGCUCUUAGUCUCAAGAGUCCAGGUAACUUUUAACCUUUAACCAUGGGGGUAGCCCAUUAAAGGUUAAUCCAUAUCUGUUUUGAUAUUCUGAGUAUUACAAUGCAAUUACCGAGCUCACCACCUUGACAAGAGUCAACUUGUUCUAGGAACCUACAUAUGCCCUCUGCUCCUACAUAGCAGUCGCGUCUUAAUGUUCCACAAGUCACCCACUUAUUAUCCAAGGCAAAUGUCUUCUAGCUCAUUGAUCUUUAGUAUAAGGGCAAUAUCCAUGAAAGUCAAUCCGACAUUUGUCUCCAUACUCAUCAUAGCCACUUCAUUGGCUAUCUAUACACCUGUCCACUUAUAUCUAGCCAUCACAUUAGCUCUGGGGAGUUCUGUAAUUGGGCUCCUAUCGUAGCCCUCACACCUUCCUUCUAAGGUGUCUCCGCUCGUUGUCAUGCGGCGGUCUGAACUUCGGCUUAUAUCGUGGCCCUCACACCUUCUCCUGAGGUGUCUCCGUUCAUUAUCAUGCGGCGGUCUGAACUUGGGCUCAUAUCGUGGCCCUCACACCUUCUCCUGAGGUGUCUCUGCUCAUCGUAGAGCGGUCUCAUCCUCCAUCUGGGAUGAUUCCAGUGGCUUCAAGAUUCUCUACCACCAUGUGGACUUGGAAGAGAUUACUCCUACUAACUACAUAGAAAGAGAAAGUUGUGGUAUACUCCUCGCAAUCCUCCACCUCGAUUUCUAUGUUUGGAGCUUCUACCUAUUUUUGCUUAAUAGCUCCACCCACACCAAUUCUUUUUGGUGUCUUCGCCUUUCAUAGGCGACCAUCACAGGUGUUUUCACCCCUUCAAUUAGGUGUUUUUGCAACAACUCAUCUUUCAAUCCUUACAUGCAUUGGAAAGGUCUUCGCCUGUUGUCUUCAUCAAGAGCACAAGAGACUUCUUGGUGUACAUCCCUUCACACAGUCUCUGCUCUGAGUUUCAUCUGGGAACUUUUCUUCUCCUUGCACCUGUUGUCUCAUUACAAUACCUCGUUGGAUCCUUCGGGUACUCCUGCACAAUCUCCGUGUGCCCUCGUGCAAUUUAUGUUCUCCAGAUUUUCUCCAUAUUCCCUGUUUAUGUUUGACAGUAGCUCAUCCUAUCACAACACCUAUCCAAGUCAAAAUAGGGUGUCAAUCUUUAUCCCCUUGUUGUAUUUCUCUUCCAUUAUCAGGGUCUUCAUCAAUUCUCCCCUCGAGAAAUUACAGUCACCGAAUCUAACUUCUUUGGAGAAAUCACCACUCCAUCAAAUUCUUGAUUAUACGGAACCUAAUUGUUCCCCUUGUGCCGUCAUCCUGCUAGUCUUUACCAGUUUCAUUACAAAUUAUUACAUAUACGAAAAUAAUAUCGUAUGGAUAAUCCUUUAACUAAGCAAGAUCCCAAUAAAGAUUGGAGGGGUCACAACGGUCCCGCUUAAAACCCAAUCUCCUAGCCAGAACUUCUUAGGCCAUAUCUAUCCAUCGUACUGCCUUUCCGUAUAUAUAACCAUUUGCUAGCUUUGUUGCGGCUUUUCUUUACAAAUAAUCUGGAAUAUUUUUUGUUUAAUACAUGAUUUCCCAACAUCUAACGAGAUUACUAGUGCUUAGAUUCGUCAAGAUUGGUCUUCAUUAGUUUUCACUCUCCACCUUAAAUCGUCCACAUGACCGGGUGUCCAGAGUAUUCCAAUUUUGCCUUCUCUCAAGGCAAUUAAAAUUUCCCCACUAAACAAUUCAGCACAUAUAAUUGGGCAAAUGUGUGCGCCUUCUUCUUCUUCAUCGACUACCAUGAUGACCUUCAGAUGCCUCCUGAUUGGGCAAUCUCUCUUUAAUAAUUCACCACCACCACUUUCGGUCUCAAAUCUUAACGAUUGAACCGUACCAUUGCAUUCGAAAUGAUCAAAUUAGCUGGAAACAAGUCUGAAAUUGUCCAAAUCACAUUUCAGACAGCAAAGAUUUGAUCAAAACAAUUCUGGCCUGAUGAGCAGCCCAGAUUCAAUCUCAGAUCCAGUUGCACGUAGGAUCAGCUACACAGAAUCCUAUCCCUUGGCCCAAAACACCUUGGCUUGUGGCUGAUGAUGUGGCAGAUGGGUCCCACCGUGUUGACGUGUCUACUGAUUGGUGGCUGACAUGGCAUGUCACCUAUGCAUGAUGACGCCAUGAUGAUGUCAUGUUGACAUCGUCCUUAUCCGGGUCAGUCACGUGGUCAUGUCAGCCCAUUCAGGCAAAGAAGACGCGUGGUAUGCGUGAGGCGCGUCUGGGCGCGUGGCCAACCAGCUCAUCGGCUCGUGGGGGCGCGUGCGGCCAUUUUCCACGUUAGAAUUUUACGCCGUUUUCACCGGUGUGCUUGUCUCUUCAUCCUUUACACGGUGGUAUGGUCAAAACAUAUUUUUGACAACUUUUAUUUUUGAGCAAAAUCAAACACCACUUUAAACCAUAAACUUUGAUAUCAAUUGUUGGGAAAUCCAACCGGUAAUGUACUGAUAGUUGCUAUUUGAAGGUUAAGCACACUAACAUAAUAUUUGGUUAAUUAUACCUAAUCUAUGGUUAGUGCAGUUUAACUUCCUUAUCAUAAUACUAUUUUAUGUUAACCUUUUACAAUUGUUAACAAAGUAUUAACACUAACAUCUAUUAAAAAAACAGAUAUCGUUUUCAUUAAAAAAAAAAAAAAAAAGCACUAAUAUCGAGAAAUUAAAUGUUCUAUAGUACAUUCGCAGCCAUUUCCAAACCUUUUCAGUUAUUUUGCUUUAUUUUCUAGCCAGCCAAACAGAUAUCAAACUAAAAAAUAUAGAAACUACAGAUAGAAACAGCGCAAAUCACGAUUCCUUGGUAAAUGUGUGUGUAAAAGAGAGGAAUAUAAUAAAAUAAUAUUUGUUUGUUUGUACUGUAAUCCCCCUCUUUCUCUCCAAUCCUGUAAAAAAUCUUAAUUUAAAUUUGUUAAAAAAAAAUUGAACUUUUUUAAUGUUUUUAGAUAUUUUAAUAUGUGGUAUUAAAAAUGCAAAAUAUUAUUUUGAUCAUCAAAUAGCUAAUCUAUAAAAACAUAGAAACUCCUAAAAAUCAGACAGAAUCAGCACAAAUCACGAUUUCCUUGAAUGUAUAAGAGGGAGGAAUAUAAUAAAAUGAUAUUUGUUUGUUAUGGUUUCGAGUGAGAGAGAGAGUGGCUCGUAGAGUUGGCAAUGUACUUUAAUCCCACUCUCUCUCUCUAAUCCUAUAAAAAAAUCAUAGCUUAGCUUCACAGAAAUUGCUGGCCAGUGAAUUUUAUAAAGCCAAAUUGUAUGUGUGAGAAAAUAGAAAUCAUCCCUCUUAAAUAUCCAUGUCUUUUUCAUCUCGAACACAAUUAUAAUAAUAAAUAUAUUAUUAUUUUUUCAUUGAUUUUUUUAAAAAAAUUAUUAAUUAUUAAUUUUACCAUUUAAUCAAUGUUUAUAUAUGUUAUGUUAUUAUUUUAGGUUUGAUCCUUAUUUUUUAAGUUUUUUUUUGUUGAAUUUAUUUUCCUUUUAAAUUUAAAUCUUCAAUAAAAAAAUUAUUUUUUUCUUUUAAUUUCUUAGUUUUGUCGUAUGCUCUUUCAUAAAUUUUUUAUUUAUUUUUCAUGUAUUUUUCAUUAAAGAUAUUAAACAAAAUUAUAAUAAUAAAUAUAUUAUUAUUUUUUCUUUGAUUUUUUUAAAACAAAAUUAUUACUUUUUAAUUGUACCAUUCAAUCAAAGUUUAUAUAUGUUGUGUUAUUAUUUUAGGUUUAGUUCUUAUUUUUUUAAGUUUUUUUUGUUGGAUUUAUUUUCUUUUUAAAUGUAAACCUUCAAUAAAUAAAUUAUUUUUUUCUUUUAAUUUCUUAAUUUUGCUGUAUACUCUUUUAUAAAAGUUUUAUUUAUUUUUAAUUUAGUUUUUAAAUCAGAAUUAUAUUUAAUUUGAUCUUUAUUUUUUUAAUUUGUAACUUGUUCCCCAUGGUAAAAAAUUGACUAAUUUUAAAUUUUAUCAUUCAAUUUAAAUUUAUUAAAAAUAGUUUUACCAGUAAAUUAUUAGUAGCAUUAAAAAAAAAAAAAAAAAAAACUCUGUGCAUUCAAGCUCACCUAAGAUUCAGUCCAGGUUCCCAAAAAGAUUAUUUAGAAUUCGGCCAGUCGGAUUAUUGCUCUGUAAAAACCUGAAAAACAAAGGACUGUGAAGGAAAUCGAGAAUAAGACAGAAGUUCAAAACCCCAUGCAGUUUCCUUAGAAUAGUUUUGAAACAAAAAAACAAAACCAAAAAAUAUUACUCUUCACUUGCUACUUAUGCACCGCCAUCUCCGUCUUCACAAACCCUAUACAGCUAUACUCACUGUUUUCAAAUAUUCGGUAAUGUUAUCAAUACUAUCCAUUUCUAAUCUUACUUCGAACAUUACUCAUUGUUUUCUAAUUAUUCCUUUUUGUAGUUUUGAGUUAUGGAUGAUGCCAACUUCUCCCCUCCUCCUGCACAAGACUCGGCCAGCGGAGGCUCCUCCUUAUAUGCUUAAGGAGGAGCUGGUCUCGUCUUUGCUCCUCUUUGCUAUCUUAAUUUAUAUACUCAUGAGAGGCCGCUGCAGCUGUACAACUGAGUGUCAUGGUGGUGGUGAUUCCAAGCAGGGCAGUGGAGGGACUCCGAAAGCCAUGCACUUUAAAGAAAAUUACCCAGCGAAAAAGGAAGUGAGAGCACAUAUUACUCCUUAGCUGCUAAAGGAGGAGAUGGUCUCAUCUCGCUCCUCCUUGCACCUGGAAACCUGAGUGCGAUAUUGUUGUUGGUGAUUCCAAGCCAAUAGAGGGACUCUGAAAACCAUGCACUUCCCAGUUCAGAAAUAAGCAUGUAAUUAAUAAGAAGUUGAAGCUGAUUAAGAUUCAUACAAAUUAAUGAGGUUCUUAAAAUUUUAUAAUAUUGUUUUCGUAUUAAUUGCAAGUCUUCUUCUUCGACGUCAAGGUAGCCAUCCAUGAAGUAUGCGUGGACAUUACGUUUGUUAAUUCUCUGCAGCAUGGAUACGCGCCCCGACUAUUGGUUUUAAUAAAAAUUUCAAGAUCAGACCAUUUUAAUUUUUACUUUAAUACAAGUAUAUAUAAAUAAUUGUGUGAAUAUUGUACGUGUUGGAGUUGAACUAUAUAAAUAAUUUUAUCUUUAAUUCUUUCAUUAUGGUUUUUUAAUUACAAUCACAAAACAAUAUCUUGUAUUUUAAUAAAUAUAAAAUAUAAUUUAAACAUCAACAUUCAAGGAAUGUACAACUAUUAAAAUAAAUAAUAUUUUAAAAUGAUAUAAAACUAAAGCCUUUUUUUCAAAAAAUUUAAUCUGUUUUUUCAAAUAUCUUCAAACAAAACACAACCCACUAAGAUGUGUUUGGUAUUGUGAUAGCUGUUGUGGUUGUUGUUUGAAAACAAUUGUUUUAUAAAAAGUACUUCUGGUUGAGCUUGAUUUGGUAUUUAUGUAUGUUUAGUUAAAAUUGUGGUUGAACAAAAAAUAGUUUAAUGUGUUUGGUUAAUAAUGCUUUUGAAAUUGAGAUUAUAAAAUAAUUUUAGAAAAUAUAUAUUAAUAUUGAUGGUUUUUAAUUUAAAUAUUGUAGAUUUAACUAUUGUUAUUACAUCAUGAAAUAAAUAAUACUUCAUAUAAAAUAUUUUUUUAUUGUUCCAUUAAACUAUCUACAAUUCCAUCACGUAUGAAAUACAUCCAAUAAGGACUAUAAUUUUUUUGAUUUCUUAAGCGCGCAACAAAAUCAGGUAAAAUAUAAUUAGGAAGAAAAUUGAGAUUGCAUUUAAAUUUUACAAAUACUAUUGAUUAAUACUUAAAAAUAUAUUUUUAUCAAUGUUUGAUAUCAUCAUUUUACACUUGAAGUAUUAAUAACUCUUUAACAAAAGUAUGUUUUAUAAUAACAAGUCUGAUACUAUAAGAUACCUUUAAUUUAUGGUAAAUAUUCAUUUUAAAUGCAGGCCUAUCACAUAAAUCAAAGGAUUGAUUGAUGAGUUUAACUACAGAAAUUUAAAAGACAAAGAGAGGGCCAAACUUAGAAAAGAGAUGUUGGUUCAGUCCAAACUAAAAUACUGUUCGGUAAUUGGAUCAUAUCUGGAGUUGUAGAUCUCGAAUUUAGAUCUUUUUUAUAUGGAUAAAAAGCUAAGACAUGGGCCUAAAACUUUCAUGGUAGUCCAAGAUUUAAAAAAGCCAUUUUCAAGUCCAAAUUGUAGCAACAACGGAGAAGUCCAAAUCUAUCUUGCAGCCUAGACACUGUUCAGCCCAUAUCUCGAGUUCUAGAAGUCCAAAUGACCUUAAUUUUUUUUCUUGGAAAGCUGAGACAAUUUCCUAGAACUUUCAUGAGUAAAGUUGGUUCAAACUCGUACGUUAUCAAUGACGUUUUGUUUAGACAACAAUAUAAGGAUUGUCAACAAGUCAAAAUGUGCUCAUCCACUCAACAAUUAUUCAUCAAAUCAAUAGUUUCAAAUUUUAACCUAUAAAAGGAGGCAUUUGCCAUGCAUUUAGGCAUCUUGGUUGUUCAUAUCAAGAUCAUGCUCUUUAUUUCUUUCUUUAUAUUCUUGUAAUGUUUAAGUUUUAUUUCAUGUUAUAUUUUUCUUAAUCUUUUGUUUAUGCUUUUAAUUUUCUUCACUAUACUUAUGUUCUUAUGUUGUUUAUUAUGUUUCUCUUCUUCAUUAUAUUUAGCUAAGUUUAUUAUAUUAAGGUGAAAAUGUUUCACUAAUGGUGUUACAAUAUGUAUAAUAUAAACUUAACAUGAACUUCAAUGUUUAUAUCAAAGAAAGUUUGUUAUUAAGAUGUCUUAUCUUUUUAUCUUACUAAUUCUCAAUAUCUUAUUUGUUAAAUGAUUAAUCUAGAUUUGUGUUAUAUAACACUUGGUAUAAUAAAUGCUUGACACUUUCAUAGCCAACUGUAUGGUAUAACCUACACAUGUGCUAUGAAAAGAACUUGAUUUGUUGUUAACAUAAGUUAGCAUCAUGAAUUCCUGACAAUAUUUAAAAGUAUGGUGUUACUUAAAUAAGAUAAUUAAUAUAAUCAUGUUAAAAAUUUAUAAUGAACUAUUAAGGACAAAUCAUCCGAUUGGAACCUUCUUUGCGUGUGGUUUCCAGUUGAUUAAUAAAAAGAGUUUAUACUAUAUUUAUUUAUAAUACUAUUAAUAGAUCCUCUAACCUUGACAAUUGUUUUAUCAUUGUUUAAUCCUUACAUCAAUAUCCCAUAAAAUUCUCAUAAACUCUUUAUUUUAUUUAAUAUAUAUAUUAUUUGUAAUUUAUAUAGUUCACUUCUCUGUGGUUCGACCUCGGUUUUGUCAAAUUAUUUAUUACUUUGACACUCCUGCACUUGCAAUAAGACAUCAAUCUUUUGGUCAUGUCAGCUACAUCAUCAAGCAAUCUUUAUUUAAUUUAUGUAGUGUUAUUUAAUAACAUUAAAUACUAGUUUUUUUAAAUAAAAAACAAUUAAAAUAUAUAUAUAUAUUUUUUUUAUUUUACUGGGUCGAAUCUGGUUCAUUUGAACUAAAAUCGUGAAGCUGGCUAUAUUAUUCAUGUUAAUUAAUUAGGAUGAACAGUAUGUAAAAACAUCAAUUCCCUGAUUUCGUACCAAGGAAACAUGGAGGACUCAUAAAUAAUAAACUUUUUUUUUUUUCACUAAACAACAUUUAUAUUUUAAACAAAACACUGACGCAAUCUCAUUACCCACCGUGCCUUUUUGCAUGGAGCAGUGGCGUUUCCACUUCUCUUUAAGCAACAUGUGCACUCUCCCGUUUCUACUUUUUCUGGAUGGAGAAAAAGAAAAGACGUUUUCGAAAUAACACAGGAGAAUAAAAAAGUGUUAUAAUACAAUUUAAUAUAAAAAAUCUAGUUGAGAUCGUGACGUCUGUGGGAGCAGUUGGGAUCCGAGAUGAUUACACCAACCUUGGUUAGAACCCCGCCCGUGUUCUAUGAAGACGUUCCGACAAAACAUCUAUAGCUGGGAGCCUGGGUAGUGGGUACCAUUGCGAAGGAACUGCCUUUUGCUCCUUUAAAUAAUGCAUUUAAUAUUUAUCUUAUUGAUGAAACACGGAGUUUCAUCAAGCACUUGAUAAAUUUUUUAGUUUUUUUUUUAAGUUUUAUAAUCUCUAUCACACUUCCCAAUCACUGGUCAGUUGAAUAUUCAUGCUAUCCAAACCGAAGCAUGCCAGUUAGCUGGAGUUUUGGGAAUUUGUUCCCUUGUCUUCGUCUUUCAAGCAUAGUUAUUAAAUUUUAAUCGGUCCAGGGAUUAAUCCAAAAUGCGGUCGACCGACUUGAUGACUAAAGUAGUUUGGGUAAAGCAAAAGAUUGGCAGUGUAAAAUUUUGAGUUAUUUUUUUAAUAAAAUUACUGCUGUUAAACUAUAGUCAAUUUUUCAUCUCAAGAAAUUAAGAAAUAUUAUUGUCCAAAUAGAAUGCAAGGAAACUCGUUGUUCCUUAUCUCCAAGUCCUUGAACAUAUUAUGUUGACAGUGAAGAAAGAUGAGGUAGAAGAAAGCGUGGCAGAGGCAAUCAAGAUCUUCUAACAAAAUAGACUAACAACUUACUCUUUUUAAGUGAAGUAUAUAACAUGGCAAAUAAAAUGCGUUUUAAAAAUGUAUCUUUUAAUAUUUUUAAUUUAUUGGUAUAAAAAUAAAUAAAUAAAUAUAUAUAUAUAUAUUGAUAUAUUUUAAAUAAAAAUACUUAAAAAAACCUCCGUACACACAAUAUCAAAAACUCGCUAAAUUAAAUUUGUUAUCUAUUUGUUAGUGCUAGCAUUAAUUGUUGAGUAUAUGAAACUUGUCUGUCAUCUAUAACAUGAAUAUGUACUGUUCUUGAGCCCCUCCCUCUCUUGAAUCAAACUUGGUUGUCUGCUCUAAUUAAAUUCAGUAACCCGUAAUUCAACAGCUAUUUGGAAAUUAAUCAAAGAGAAAAAAGAAAUUGAGGGGGGAAUUGAAAACUGGAAAAAGGGGGAUUUUUGUACCGGGAGAUGAUCAGGUAGAAUAUCACUUAGGAAAGGGAGGAAAUUAUGCUUAAUUUAAGAUUAAUAUUUGUGAAAAUGUUUUUUUUCGUGUUCUUUUUUGAAUAAAAUUACUGAAGAUAGACUGUUGUCAAUCUUUCAUCUCAAGAAAUAUCGGUGUCCAAGUAAAAUGCAAGAAACUCGAGUUCCUUCAAGUAAUCUCCAUGUUCUCUUAACAAAUUAUGGUGACAGUUUCACUUCAAACCCUAAUUACAAUUGAAAUUGCUAAGUCAUGGAUCACACAUAGAUUUUCUCCUCUUGAAAGCCCACGAUAACAGUGAGAAGUCAGGCCCAAAAUAAUGACACCAGGUAGAGAUUUGAAAAUGAGAUCCAAAACAAUGAGUAUUCAAAACACAGCGGGUCUGUGUUAGAUCCAAGUAACCUGUAUUUCGGUUUUUCCGAAAAAAUGAGUAAAUGAGAUCCAAAAAAAUAGUAUGAGGUAUAAUUUCCAAAACAAGUUAAGUUAAUAGUUAAGGAUGAAAUUAAUAAAUAAAUAAAUUAAAAAAGUAUGGGCUGUUAAAGAGUGAAUUGAAAAGAAAAGAAAAACUAAACAAAUAAAAGGAAAAAAAAAAACACAGAACACUAUUCCAGCAAAUAAUUUUUUUAUAAGUGCGACUAAAUUGAUUUAAUCCGCUUUGUCAAAACAUGGAACUGGUUCUUUCAAAAAUUCGAGUUGUCCAAAUGAUAUAUUCUGCGCCAUGAGAAAUGCAAUUCUUGAGAUCUUGUGCCAUCUUUCCAGCAUCUUUAGUGAAGACAUUUACUAAUUAAUGCACAGAAAAUCACAAUGAAAACUCCAAUAUUAUUUUCAAAGGUCUUAAAGAAAAAAAAAUUGAAAUACUUGGACAUAUAAGAGAGUUUUAUGUCAAGCGUGGUUUAAUUUCUCAAAGGUCAAAGGAAAAAAAUGAGAUUGGAGAAAAAAGCCCAAUGUAUGAGGAAAUUAAAAGGGCAAACAAUCCAAACCAAUAAGCCCAUUGACCCAUUUUGCGUCAGCAACACUAAGUUCUUAUCAAACGUGGCAUUGUCGAACGAGGUUCAAAGCAUGUUUAGGACCCCUGCAAGUUAUCAUUAUGAUAUCUAACUAAAUGUCUUGCUUCGCAAGUUAAUUCGGAGGACAUCUUUGUAAAUAAUUUGUUUUAAGAGUUUCAUCUAACUUGUUUGAUUUAAGAAAUAAAAAUAUAAAAUAAAUAUAUUUUUAAAAUAGUUUUGAAAUGAGUUUUUAUCUUUUCAAAAUAAGAAGAAAAAAAAAACAUGUAAUUUUUAUCUUUAAUAUUUUUAUCUCUUCUAUUUCAAACAAUAUCAGUAUAUAUCCUUUUAGCAAAAAUGCUGAGAACAAUUACAAGCCAAGAAUAGUACUAGUUGAUAGUAUUUGUUAUUGUAUUAGUAGUUAUUUUUUUAAGUGUGUUUUAUUUAAAAAUAAUAUAUUUUUUUUAAAAAUUAUUUUUUAUGUUAACAUAUUAAAAUAUAAAAAAUAAUUUUAAACAAAAAUAUUUUAAAUUUUUAUAAAAUACUAUUUGACGCUCGGAUAUGUAUUGCUUCGAGUUGCGCCGCUACCAUUCCUUACCGCGACUGUUUUUUUGUCCAUGUUGCUGCUCAUCUAACGUGUGCGUGUCCGUAGGGUUAUUGAAGUUUCUCACAGUCAUUAAUGUUUUUUGAAAUUUUAAAAAGCCUUCAGUCUUACGACGUAGCAGUAGCAGCAUAAGCACAUCAGGACAGCACUAAGCACAAAGAUAUAAAAUUAACAUUAAAACACUAAAAUUUAUAUAUAAUGUGUCCUCUGAAGCAUUUUUGGUGUUAGAUAAUGUGAGAAAUUAAUUCACGAUUGGAGGAAGGAGCGAUGGGUUUCUUUAUCCAAUAAGUGGUAAAUAUCAAAUACAAAUCCUUUGAAUUUGAAUUAUUUGUUUACUAGUAAGAAUUUGAAUUGCAAUUGAAAUUUCCAAUGUUUCAAUACAAUAUUUAACAGUUUUAUUAACAGAAUUUUUCUAUCGACAUAAGAUAUAUAUUUUAUCAGUAAUUAAUUUACCCACGAAAUCACCGACAGAAAUUCUCUGUCAGUAAAUCUUUUAUCGGUAAUUUUUUAUCCGUCAAUAAAUUCAUUGAUAAUAAAAAAAAUAAUUACCAAUAGAUUUACUGACAGAACAGAUGCGUACAAAAAAUUACCCAUUUCAUUCUGUUAGUAUAUCCCUCGAAAAAUACCGUUGGUAAUUAUUUAAAAACAUUUUAAAAAAAUCUAUUUUAUAAAAUUAUAAAAUUAUAAAAUAAUUAAAUUAACAUAAAUCAACACUCUAUAAUAUAUACUCAAAAUGCUUUGAAAAAAGAAGAAGAAAAUCAACUCAAACAAAUUUGCAACAAAAAAAUAAAACAAAAAAAUAAUUCAACUAAAAAAAUUCAUAUCAAAAAAUAAAGUUGCGAUUGCUGAAAAUUGAAAAAUCAAUUACAUAAAUAAAUUAAAAAUUGAUCUCAUAUGAAAAAAAUAAUCUCACAACAACAUUCAUACAAUUACUAAGAACAAAAACAAUUAAAAAUAAAAUAAAAAACAAAUAUAGUGAAAAAAAUCAUGAAAAAAAAAUAUUACCUUAAUGUAGUUGCAAGUGAAGCUAAGGAGCGAAAUUGUUUUUUGUAAAUCAUAUUAAUUAAAAAACAAACUAAGAGGAUAAAAGAAAAAAGAAGAAAAAGACAUACUCGAGCAUGAAGGAGAAGAGAAGAGAAAGAAAUAGAUAUUGAUGUUUUUUACAUAUAGAAAAAAGAAGAAGAAGAGGAAGUAGAAGAAGAAGAAUAAUCAUAAGAAAUGAGUCUGUCUCUUGUGAAAUAUGGGGACUCAGGCUUUUUAUUGAGGUGAGUUAACGAUGGUUUUACAAACAGAUAAUUAAAUAUUAAUAUUUUUUAAUUAUUUCGUUGGUAAUUUUGUCUGUAAUAUUUAAUUUAAAAUUUCAAUUUCAUAAAAUUUUUUUAGAAACCACCAACAAUCAAUGAUUAUUUUUUAAUCCGUCGGUGAUUCCAUCACUAAUAUUUAAAUGAAAAUUUUUAAUUAAUUAAAUUUUUUUAGAAAACCACCAAAUAAUACCGAUGACUUUUCAAUUCGUCGGUGAUUUUUUCUGUAAAGAGCAACAAUUAACAGUGUAAUUGGAAAGUGAACAGUUCUGAAGCUCUUUGAAAAAUACUGGCGGAAUGUUCCUUCGAUGAUUCCCUUUGUAAUUGAUACGAUGAACAUUGUUCACAAUUUACCAACAAUUAUAUCGAUGGAAUUUAUUCCGUCGGUAAUAUCGUUGGUAAAAAUAACACGUCAUUACUUUUUUGCUUUGUUUUAAAUUUUUUUCCCACUGUAAUUCUCUUGGUAUAUACCGAGAGAAUAUUUCUAUCGGUAAAAUCCCUCGAAAAUUUACCAAUGAAAAUAUUCCCUCAAUAUUUCCGUUUGUAUUUAUCGAUUUUCUGGUGGUGUUUUUACAGGUCAAUUCUUAUUGGUGUACAAAUAAAUGUGUCUUUUUUUGUUUUGAUUUUUUUUUAGAAUUUUUUUUAGUUUCAUCCAUUUCUAUUUGAUUUUUUGUUUGUUUUUAUUUCAAUAUAAUAUUUAUUCUCUUAAUUGUUGCUUCUUUUUUAUUUAUUGUUUUCUUGAUUUUUUAUUUGAAUUUUGCCUCUAAGCAUUUUAUUUUUUUUUCUUUUUUUUCCCUAGAUAUCGUUCUUAUUUUUUUUAGUUUUUUUUUUCCUUCCUUCGUUAUUCCUCUUUGUUUCUACAAAUUAUGCUUAUAAACCCUGUAUUUUUUAAGAUAUAAUUUUUUAUUCGGAUAUUAGGGAGUUAUUCACGCACCGCCUCAACACCACAAGUGUCUCCCAUUUAUUUUUUCAAUCCCUAAAUUAUUUUGUUUGUCAAAUAUGAUCCCUCAAGCAUCAAUGUAAUUGUGUUUUAAUUUUCAAAAUUAGGUAUCAACUAAACACGUGUUAGAAUUUUUUUCUCGAUCAAAAGGGAUUCUCAUAUUUUAAAAAAAAAAACUAUCAAGUUUAUUUAAAAAAAAAAAAAAAACUUAAUAUAGAAAGAAAAAAGAAGAAAAAAAGUUGAAUCUCUCCCCUACCAUGUAAUUCAGUCACUGAUGUUUCCAUGGAAACAGGGCUCAAUACGUGUAAUUCCAGUGUUUUGACGUCAAAGGAAUAUCAUUGGUGGGUUGUGCCAUGGGGACAGUCAUUUGUUUGUCUGUGUAAAAGUGCAAAACAGGCAUAAAACAAUCAACGAUACUUCUUUCAAAUGGGAGUAAAUGCUUCUGAAGAUAUGAUUGAGCUUUGUUAAGAUAUAUGAUCCCUCAAAGAUCUCCACUGCGUAGUGAUCCUUUCAUUAUACGGGAAAGAAAAGGAGCCACGCAGAGGUCCUCGAACAUCAGCCACCGUGGCUCCUUUCAUUAUCCGCUUUGUGCACCGUGGCUGAUGUUUAAGGAGCACACAAACUUUCUCCUUGUUAUACAUACUUACAUCUCCUUAUUCACAAAAUUAAGCAUCCUCUCUUGCUCUGCUAGCUUGUCUCCUCCUGUGUUUCCUCCUCCAAUCUGGUAAUAUUAUCAAUGCGAUCUCUUUCUAAUCUCAGUUGAGACAUUGCUGCUUUUAUUUUCUUCUAACUAACCAUUCCUUUUUGUAGUUAAUUUUAAGCCAUGGAUGGUUACAUCCCACACCCCCCUGCACAAGACUCGGCCACAUCAUGCUACUCAGCUGCUAAAGGAGGGCUUCCUGGUGUCCUCGUCAUGCUCCUUCUUGCUAUUGUAUUUUAUGUAUUCUUCAAGCGCCGGAACUGCCUCGAGAAGGGCGACCACGGGAAGGUUCAGGUGACCAAUAUUGUUAGAAUGGGAGAAAGAAACGUCCAUGCUGGGGAAUAAGGAGGUACCAUACCAUGUAAUAAGAAGUUGAAGCUAAUUAAGAUUCAUACAAAUGAGAUUUUCCUAAUCUUCCCAUAUUGUUUUUGUAUUAAUUGCAGUAAUCCAUGAAGCACACGCAUGCCUCGACUGCUCUUUUUUAGUUAUAUCUACUGUAUUGUUGCAGAAUCAAACCAAUGAAAUGCAAUGGCAGAAAUUCAUUCUAGCGAGAAUGGCUUUGAUACUUCUUUCAAGAUAUCAAUAUCUCCACAGGUUAGGCUGUUCAUCAUGGUGCUGUGUUUUUUUCUGUUCCCCGGAGUUUGGUCAUGUUCUUAUGGUAUGCUCCUUGAGUUGUGCUGUUUUGGAUUCUUAGCUCGAUCAGUUUUGUGUCCAGUGGGAAAAGGAGGUGAACAGGGAGCUGUGAGCUAUAUCAAGAUAUCUAUAUAUGGUUUGUUGUGUAUGCUCAAUCUCCCUAAAUUAUUAUUUUAUCUGCUAAAGUUUGCCAUGGAAAUCGACUCCAACAUGGCAUCAUAAUUGAUAGCAGCCAGCAAAACUUUGACCUCUAACACGUUUAUUUUCUAACAACAUCGAUAGUUUUGUCAUUAAGUUUCAAUCUUUUUUAUUUGGUUAAGGUGUCAUCGUGAUUGCCUUAUAAUUAUGUUCCCUGUGUUCUUUUUCCCCCUGGCAGCUGAGGAGUGAUCAGAGUGAAUUUUGGGCUUUUGAGUGAGAAUUCUAUGUUUUUUUUUUUUGUUGAAUUUAGGAUUUUCAAGAGCCAAGAGUUUACUUGACUGAGAUCGCAGACUUGCUGAUUAUGGCAUGGACUAUUCUGGACAGAAAUAGCAGACCAUGCCUUCAGGCUAUAUAUUCUGUGCUUCUUCUUCUUUUUUCCAACAGAAAAGAUAGCAAACAAGAUCUGUGGCCGCUGUUGCACCGUGGCAUCCAUUCCUUUUCUUUCUGAGAUUCAUGUUGACAGAUUGUACAAUCAAACACAAAAUGCUUUAUUCAGUUUCUCGAUCACAGCCAAGAUUAAAUUCUGCUUUGUGUCCGGUCCAUU